RNAcentral lists this long non-coding RNA (66416 nucleotides) under Phaseolus vulgaris (common bean). RNAcentral's name for it is "long non-coding RNA (PVUL_LNC002467)". The record is from RNAcentral. Lineage: Eukaryota; Viridiplantae; Streptophyta; Magnoliopsida; Fabales; Fabaceae.
UGUGCUGGUGGAGGGUAUGGCACCACUGGUGGUGGUGGUGGUGGGCAUGGUGUUUCACUUGGAGGGCUUGGUGGCGUCACAGUAGGGGGUGUUGGUUCUGGCACAGGAAUAACAGGAGGGUAAACAAUGGGUGGCUUUGGCACAUAAGGUGGUCUAACUGGGACGACUGGUGGUUUAGGAACGUAAGGAGGUGUAACCGGGACAACCGGUGGUUUAGGGAUGUAGGGUGGUGUAACUGGGACGACUGGUGGUUUAGGGAUGUAAGGAGGAAUAACCGGAACAACAGGUGGUUUAGGGAUAUAGGGUGGUGUGACAACAGGAGGCUUAGGAAUGUAAGGUGGUGUGACAACUGGUGGAUUGGGGACAUAUGGUGGUUUUGGGACAUAGGGGGGUGGUUUGACAACUGGAGGUAGUGGAACAUAAGGAGGAUGUGGGUGAAGUGGUGGCUUAGGGUGAGGUUUUGGGACAUAGGGGGGGUGUGGAUGCACUGGUGGCUUAGGGUAGUGAGGAGGUUUUGGAACAUAGGGUGGAUUCACAUGUGGAGGUUUGGGAGAUGAGUGGGGUGGAGGACAGGGUUUGGGUGGUUUGUGAACUGGUGGUGGCUUCACUAUGGGGUGGUGUUUGGGGGGCUUAGGAGAGGGGUAAGGGCAAUAAGGACAAGCAAGAACAUUGAGCAAGGUGGUGAAGUUGAAGAGAAGGAACAAGAGGAGAUUGGGUAGGGCAAACUUUCCCAUGACUGGAGAUUGUGUAGGGAAAGAGAAAGAGGAAUAUAUGAUGUUGUUGCAAUGAGUUUCAAAGAAUGAGGCUCUUCUUAUACGAGGAUCCAACCCUCAAACCAAACCCUAGCUUUUAUUUUUUUUAUUUUUCUCUUUCUCGUGAGUGAUGUUGAUCACGGACAAGAAUUAUUAUGACAAUCAAUCAAUCUAAAUCUAAAUGGAACCACACUCUUAACAAUUGGAAUUAAAUUAUUAAUUUUUUAGAUGAAUCAUAGACUUUGAAGGACAGAAAAAUGCAUGAGAUAUAGGUGGGGUCCAGGGUGUGGCAGAGUGAGUUCCUUGGCUUGAUUCAUGCACAAAAGAGAUCAAACAAAGAAAAGAAAAAGGAAAAGUGGGCCAUGGUGUUAUGUCCAGAACUACGAUUUCAAUUUUUUGAUGGACAGGGGAAUCAAUAAAAAGCAGUGGUGAGCCAAGAACAUUUUUGACUUGUAGUGACAAGUGGAAGUGGGUUAUUCUGCCCGUGAUGAAAAAUCUAACUUAAUUCAUAAACAUCAAACUACUCUGUAAACAUACUUUAGAAUUAGUGGCUUAGUCCCUAACAUUCUUGUCUUCUAAAAACCAUGCUUCAUUUCGCUCCAAUAAGCUUAAUAUUCAUUUGUAAUUUAUAUUUAAAUUGUCCGUGUUUAGAAAAUGUUUCUUCUUAGGUCUUUAGUCUUAGGUGUGUUGUCGGUCCCCGAUGAGAUUGAGUGAUAUGUAUAAAAAAAUUUCCAAUAUUUAUAAGUAUGUUGGUCAAUUUUUUUCUGGAUUUUUAUCCAUUAUGGGUUUGGAUUAGCACGAUUUUUUUAUUUAUUUUCUGUAUUAGUCUAAUAUUUUUUAAGAUUUUCUAGUUAAUCUUUGUUUUAACUUAUCUUGAAGGUUACAAAGUGUAUUGUUCACCCAGUCUCAUAUAGUAUAAUUUAUAUUUAUUUUAAUAACCUUUUCAUAUUAAGAUCUGUUUGUAAAAACUAAACUUCAAACUAGACACACAUUAGUGUGUAUUUCCCUUUCAUUAAUUGAGUUCAAAGGAAUAUUAUGAGUUUAAAGGCAUUUUGGUAGGUGAAGUUUUUUUAAACUAAACAUGUAUUUGAAUCUGAGUGACUAUUGUUCAUCUGGAUCUUUUGGAUCUAGGUGAUUACUCCUCAUCAGGUUAGUCUCUGAAUGUUGUAGUGUUAAAAGAGAUUCUGAGAAUUUAGAGGCAGCUUUUAUGGGGGUGGGAUCGAAAGGGAGGAAGAUCGCUUGAGCUUCUUAGAAGAAGGUCUGGGAGUCUAGAGAGGCUGUCAGUUUGGGUAUUAUUGAUUUUAAAGUUUUCAAUUUGCUCUGUUAGGAAAAUGGAUUUGGCAUCUAGGGACGGAUGAGGGUGGCUUGGGGAAGGAUAUCCUUGAAUCCAAGUACGGAGGUUGGAGAAGACUGAGUGAUCAAAGGAAUAAUGUUAAAGAGUCUCUUUGGUGGAAGGACUUGAAGGAGGUUUGGGCGUUGGAGAGUUGGGGAAGGAGUUUUGAAGAUCGUUUCAAUUGGAAGAUAGACAAUGGGAAGAAAAUCAGUUUUUGGGAUGAUAACCAGGCGAGUUGUGGUGUUCUGAAAAGGGUUUUUUCCGAGGUUGAGUUCAUUGAGCAUGCAUUCUGAGGCUAAGUUAGUCAAGUUUGGGGUUUGGAUUGACAGUAUUUGGGAGUGGAAUUUAGCUUGAAGAAGGAACCUGUUUGAGUGGGAAAAGGUUUCGGAGAGUCAACUUUUGUUAAAGCUCCAAGGUUUAGGGGUGGAGCAGGAUGGAUGAUAGCUGGGUGUGGAAGGAUGGCGAGUUGUCUUCUUACUCGGUUAAUUCUGCGUAUGCUUUCUUAAGGGGUGAGUUAGAAGGGGGUAAUAAUUCCAUGUAUGUAAAGUUUUGGAAGUCUAAAGCUUUGUCAUCCGCCCAUAUUACUGCUUUGAGGGUGUUAGAAAAUAGGUGUGUUGUCGGUCUCCCGAUGAGAUUCAGUGGUAUGUGUAAAAAGUUCUCCAAUAUUUAAGUUAGUGUUAACUUUUCAAUAAUUGAGUAUGUUGGACAAAUUUUUUUCUAAAGAUGAUUUGGGUUUUCAUGCUUGUGAGUUUGGAUUAGCACGAUUUCUAUAAUUAAUUUUUGUAUUAGUCUAAUAAUUUGUAAGACUUUCUAGUUAAUCUUCCUCUUAACUUAUCUUUAAGGUGCCAAAGUGUAUUGUCCACGUAGUCUCAUGACUAUAUAGUAUAAUUUAUAUUUAUUUCAAUAACUUGUUCAUAUUCAACAUGUGCCUGUAAAAAUCAAUUUUUAAACUAAACACACAUUAGUGUGUACUUCCCUUUCCUUAAUUGAAUUCAAAGGAAUAUUGUGAGUUUAAAGGCAUUUUGGUAGGUGAAGUUUUUAGAAACUAAACAUAUGUUUGGAUUUGAGUGAUUACUGUUCAUGCGGAUGAAUAACGCGAAUUAUUUGUGUUUGUUUCUAUUAAUUGUCGUGGAUCUGGGGUGUGGAAAGGCAAAAAAAAUGUAUUUUCGAAUCCUCACGUGUGUGCCAUGAGUCAUGAAGAAAUAAACGUAAAUGCACUGAUUUUACUUUGGUACCCUUCUAUUUUCAAAAAUCCGUGUUUAAUCAUAGUGAGAUUCCUGAAACAUGCACAAUCAAGAUUUAUGAGCCAUGCACAAUCAAGAUUCCUACACUAUGCAACAAGAUUUCUGACCGCAAGGUUUGACUGCGCAGUGGUGUGGUUGAGGGUGUACUUACAUGUUUAUUACAAGCUCGGUGGUUUUUGAGUAAGGCUUGAUUUGUUUUUAGGAAUGGUGUGAGUUGAGCACAGUUUGUUUUUGUUGUAUUGGUGCUCGGUGGUGCGCGGUGGUGUUCGGUGCGGUGCUCAAUGGUGGGUAUCUGUGGUGGUUUGGUCUUCAUUCGCAUCUCAUUGAGAUAAGAAUUCAUGGUUAAAUUCAAAACACAAACCAGAUAAUCGGUUAUGACGAAGAAAAAUUGAUUCUCAACUUUUUUUAAUGGAGAAUUGAUGUUCAUGAAUCGAUUCUGAUAUAAUUUUGUAGAGAUAAUUGACAGGGUUCAUGACUGAAUUGUUGACCUGCAACAACAAAUUCAUGACUUUUGGGAGUCUUUUGAAUGAUACAUAUUUCCAUGUAUCAUUGAUAUAAUUUUCUAGAACAUUAUUAUUUAUUUCAUUUUUUUAUAUAUACAUUUCUAAUAUACGUUUCAUAUUUAUUAUGCCGGACUUUAACCAUAAAUUUUGUUUUAAUAUAUUAUAAUUUAUUGCAUUAAUAUUUAUUUGAUGAAUAGUUUUUUCUUUUAUACAAUUAUAGCUAAACACAAUUCCAAGAAAAAAAUCUUUUAAUUGCAAACAGCUAUAAAUUACAAAAAAAAAUAAUCCCCAAUUACAAUUUUUUCUAAAUAAAAUUUCUUACAAUCAUAAACAUGUUCUAAAAAUUUUACCAUUCAUAAUUUUUUCAAAGUUAACUCGAACAUAAUAUCGAAAAUAAUAUUUCAAUUACUAAUUAAAAACAAUUAUAAUUCACAAAUAAAUCAAUAAAUUAAUUUUUCAACAACUUUUAAAUACAAGAAUAAAAAUAAAUUUCUAAACUUAUAUUUUUAUUAACUUUAAAAAAUACAAUUUAUAUCAUACUCAUCAUAUUACUCAUUAACUUUUCGUUGAAUAUAAAUAUUUUAUUUAAAAUAAUCGUUCCAUCGUAAUCCUUAUUAACUAAUACUAGCGGAAACUCAACGCAACACGCCUGUGUAUCCGCAUUUUCCUCUUUUACUCAACUUUCAUGAUGAUAGAAAUUUAACAUACAUAAAGAAAUAAUUUUGGAUGAGUCGAAAAUGAAAAAUAAAAAAUAACAUGUAAAAGAAAAAUGAUGAAUUGAUUAAACAAUUCUUUUUUCUUCCUCUUCGGUUUGAGGUCUCUCUUCUUCUUUAAGUUUUUUUUCUCUUUUUCUAUUGGUAGUUUUGGAAUCGAAGAGUGUGAUGAUGUUCAAAUUAAAGUUAGGAUUGACUUGAUGAUAGAUACAAAAGAAUAAUGAUUUUACCAAAUAAUAUAAUUGCUUGAAAUUGAGUAAAGGAAAUGAUUGGAAAUGAAAGUUAUUUUAUUUGAUAUGUGAAAUUUGGUUUAGAAACAUGUGAGAGUAUGCUCUCUCUUUCUUCUUGUUGUUGCCUUAAAAUAAGAAUUAAAGAAAAGAACGGGAGAGUCAGUUUCGCUAUAAAAACUGUACAUUAAUAUUAAAUUAAAAAUAAUUUUAUUUUUUAAGUAAUGAAAUGACAAAAUAUUUCAUUGUACUAUAAAAAAUGAGAUAUAUUAAAUAAAGAUAAAAUUGGAAGAAAUUUAUGUACACCAAAAAACGAUUAUAAUGGGAAUUCUCUUUAUGUAUAGAUUUGUAUAGUGUUUAUGAAAUUUUAUAUUUAGAUGUACAUAUGAUUUUUUUAAUUAAUUUGACAUUUAAAAAAUAUUAUUUUUUAUAUUUAGUAGAGUUGUUUGUGGAAAUAUCUCAUAGAAUUUGAUAAACUAAAUUAACUAUAAAAAAUUCACAUAAAAAGUUCCAACGAAAAUUUUAAGUGCAUUUAGUUUAGUGAAAAACACUGGGGCGUGUUUCGAUAGAAUAAAUUACAAUUUAAUAUUAUAAUAUUAUUUAGGCAAUUGCAACUUUUGCUGAUAAGUACAUUUAAUAGUAUUUUUUUAAAAUAUAUAUUUUAAAAUCAAAAUGAUUAUUUAAGAAAAAAACUACCAAACAUAGAUUAUUGUACAUUACAUUUCCAAAACAGAACUUAUUUUAUAGACGUCAAUAAUAUAAAUUAAAUAUAAACAUAUUAAAUGAAGACAUUGAUAUUUUGUAAAUAAUUUUUAAAUUAUUAUAUAAUUAUUAAUUAAUAAAUUUUAAUAUUAAAUAUUUUAUAUUUUAAAUUAAUUUAAAAUAUAAAAUAUUAAUAGUUAAUUUUUUUUAACUAAUUUAGUUGCUAAUUAAAUUUAUUUUAUAAAUUUUCAUUAAUAAUAAAAAUCACUUUAAAUAUUAAUAAUUUUUAGUCUCUAAAAUAACAUUUAAUUUAAUUAAUAUAAUAAUUAAUUAUUUUUUAAAAUUUAAUUAUUAUUUAAUAAGUUUUUACAUUGUUUUCUCAAAACAUCUAAAAAAACUUAUUUAUAGAAGUCAAUAAUAUAAAUUAUAUAUAAAUAUAUUAAAUGAAUGUCAAAACUGGGCUUUUGGGCUUUUUGGGCCUCUGCUGGGCCUUUUUCCCUUUCCAGUUUUUCCUUUUAGUUUUUGCUGUUUGCACCCUUGUAUUUAAGUUUACUUUUAGGGUUUUCUGAAACUGGAAGUGAUAUUACUACUGAAUAAUAAUUCUGUUUAGUUCUCUCAUCUCCCAUGUUCGCUUUCUUCUUUUGCAAUUCUCUUCUUCACCAAAGAUUCAACAUACUCUAUUACUUUUGUAAAUAUUACAGAACCUUGCUGAUUUCUCUAAGAUGGUAUCAGAGCUCUUCACCGUGAAGAGCUCUGUUGCGCGCUCUGAAUUCGUCCCUUCACUCUAUCAAGAUUUGUUCUCUUUCGUUUUCUUUAUUUUACGUUUUUCUGUUUUUCGUUUUUGACAGUUUUUCCUUUUUCCGCAGUUUGUGAUUUCGUGCUUCAAUGGCUGCUGAAAAUCCUAAUCGGAGUGAAACUCCAAUUUCUAAUCAAAGCAAGAACGUUGCUCAAGGAGAAAAUCCUACCCACAGUUUCCUGUAUCUACAUCCCAGUGAGAAUCCCGCGACUCCUCUUGUGUCUCCGCUUCUUGAUUCAACCAAUUAUCAUUCUUGAAGCCGCUCAGUCAUCGCUGCAUUAAGCGCAAAGAACAAAGUGUGGUACCACUACCCGACCUCCUAAGACCGAUCCUUCUUUCUCAUCCUGGACGCGUUGCAACAACAUGGUGGCAUCCUGGCGUGUGCAUUCGGUCUCUGUUCAUAUGCGCCAGAGUAUCCUAUGGAUGGAUAAAGCACUAGACAUUUGGAAUGAUCUCAAGGCUCGUUUCUCACAAGGGGAUUUAUCUCGUAUCUCUGACCUUCAGAUGAAUGCCUCCUCUCUCAAUCAAGGUGAUCUUUCUGUUUUCGACUUUUUCACUAAACUUAGGAUAAUCUGGGAUGAAUUAGAUAAUUUUAGGCUUGAUCCUGUAUGUUCCUGCAAUGUACCUUCUAUUACUGCUCAAAGAAAAAGAGAGGAUCAGGCAAUGCAAUUUUUACGUGGCCUUAAUGAUCAAUAUAACAACAUAAAAGCUCAUGUCCUUCUCAUGGAACCUGUCCCUGAUAUUACCAAAAAAUUUUCUCUAGUUGUUCAACAAGAACGCCAGUUUAACAGUAAUGUUCUUGUUGCUAAUAUUAGAAAUGCUUCCCCUGUCACUCACACCAAUAACACUACCUGUUCGUUCUGUGGUAAACUGGGUCACACCGAAAAUGUUUGCUUUAAGAAAAAUGGUUUUCCUAACCAAGAUAACAAAGGACCAAAAUUUGGCUAUGGUAAAAGAUUUUGUACUUACUGCAAUAGAACUGGUCAUACUAUUGAUAUUUGCUACAAGAAACAUGGGUAUCCUCCUGGAUAUAAAUCCCAGUAUGGUAAGGCUCCUCAAUUAAACAACAUCACCACUGCCAUACAAGAAGAAAGUUCUGAAAAUCAAGAUCAGGAUAAACUGAAUAGUGGAGGAGAUUUUCGCAUCACUCAACAUCAAUAUAAGAUUCUCUCAGACCUUCUGAAAAAUGUCAGCAGUUCCAACAAUCAAGUGCAAGUGAACCAGGUUGGUUCCAUCUCUGCUAAUCAUCAGGAUCAGAUUUCAGCCAUCACAGGUAAUAUCCAUAAAUUCAAAAACUCCAUUUUUAAUGAAUACACAUGGAUACUAGAUUCUGGAGCCACAUACCAUGUUUGCUUUUCUUUGUCUAACUUUACAUCAUAUAAUCAUAUUAAACCGAUUACUAUUAAGCUUCCUAAUGGGAAUUAUGUUAUUGCUUCUUAUUCAGGCACGGUUUUCUUUAAUGAAAAAUUCAUUCUUAAAAAUGUUUUAUAUGUACCAGAUUUUACUUUUAAUCUUAUUUCCAUAUCCCAAUUGACUGCAUCUCUUAAAUGUGAACUUAUUUUUUCCCCUACUGAGUGUUUAAUACAGAACUCCAAGACCAAAGAAAAGAUUGGUACAGUUGAUAUUGUUUAUGGUCUAUAUGUUCUCAAUAAGAUUGAUGGCAGCAUUCUGAGUUGUACUGCAAGACAGAAUAAUAUUUGGCACCUCAGAUUGGGACAUCCUUCAGAAGAAAGGUUAAAAAUUCUGCAAAACUAUUAUCCUAACAUUCGCAUUGACAAGAAUUAUAUUUGUGAUGCAUGUCAUCAAGCAAAACAAAGAAAAAUUCCUUUCUUUCCUAGUAAUACUCAAACUGCUCAUGCUUUUGAAUUGCUGCAUAUUGAUAUUUGGGGCCCCUGUAUCAAUGCUUGGUUUUAAAUAUUUUCUUACCAUAGUUGAUGAUUUUACUAGAUAUACUUGGCUCUUUCCCAUGCAUAACAAAUCUGAAGUCAGGGCUAGUAUUAUUAGUUUUGUUGCAAUGCUGAAAAUCAGUUUUCUAUUAAAGUCAAAACCAUUCGCACCGAUAAUGGUAUUGAAUUUUCUAUGCAUGAUUACUUUGCCUCUAAAGGGAUUGUCCACCAAACCACUUGUGUUGAGACACCUGAGCAAAAUGGCAUUGUUGAAAGAAAGCACCAACACAUUUUAAAUGUAACACGGGCUCUCCUUUUUCAGUCUAAACUUCCUGCUAUUUUUUGGUGCUUUGCCGUACAACAUGAUGUUUUCCUCAUUAAUUGUAUGCCUACUCCGCUGCUUAAUAAUGCCACUCCCUAUGAAAAACUGCAUAAAAAGCUAUGUGAUAUCUCUUCCAUUCGUGUUUUUGGAUGUUUGUGUUAUUCUUCAACUAUCCUUGCUCAUAGAAAAAAACUGGACAGCCGCGCUGUUCCAGGUGUUUUCCUUGGUUUUAAGUCAAACACAAAAGGUUUUCUGUUUUUAAAUCUUAAUAACCAUAAAAUNNNNNNNNNNNNNNNNNNNNNNNNNNNNNNNNNNNNNNNNNNNNNNNNNNNNNNNNNNNNNNNNNNNNNNNNNNNNNNNNNNNNNNNNNNNNNNNNNNNNNNNNNNNNNNNNNNNNNNNNNNNNNNNNNNNNNNNNNNNNNNNNNNNNNNNNNNNNNNNNNNNNNNNNNNNNNNNNNNNNNNNNNNNNNNNNNNNNNNNNNNNNNNNNNNNNNNNNNNNNNNNNNNNNNNNNNNNNNNNNNNNNNNNNNNNNNNNNNNNNNNNNNNNNNNNNNNNNNNNNNNNNNNNNNNNNNNNNNNNNNNNNNNNNNNNNNNNNNNNNNNNNNNNNNNNNNNNNNNNNNNNNNNNNNNNNNNNNNNNNNNNNNNNNNNNNNNNNNNNNNNNNNNNNNNNNNNNNNNNNNNNNNNNNNNNNNNNNNNNNNNNNNNNNNNNNNNNNNNNNNNNNNNNNNNNNNNNNNNNNNNNNNNNNNNNNNNNNNNNNNNNNNNNACAUGGUCCUUAACCAGCCUUCCUUCUGGAAAAACAGCAAUUGGGUGUAAAUGGGUUUAUAAAGUCAAGCAUCAUGCAGAUGGCUCUAUUGAACGCUACAAAGCCCGCUUAGUAGCAAAAGGGUACAACCAAAUUGAAGGACUGGACUUCUUAGAUACCUUUGCUCCUGUAGCAAAGCUGACCACUCUACGACUUCUCCUAGCUCUAGCAGCAGCUCAAAAUUGGGCACUCAAGCAACUAGAUGUAAACAACGCCUUCCUACAUGGAGAUCUAGAUGAAGAAGUUUACAUGCAAUUACCUCCAGGUUUUCCAACCCCUUCUCCCAAUCUUGUUUGUCGCCUCAAGAAGUCUCUUUACGGGCUCAAACAAGCAGGUAGGCAAUGGUAUGCUAAACUCUCAAGCUUUCUACUUUCACAUAAUUAUAAAAUUUCCACUGCUGACCACUCUUUAUUUCUGAAACAUGAUGGCAAACACACCACGGCACUGCUGGUCUAUGUGGAUGACAUCAUUCUCACUGGAACUAAUCCUAAGGAGAUUUCUACCAUCACUGGUUUGUUACACAAUUUUUUUUCAUAUUAAAAAUCUUGGUGAUUUGACUUAUUUUCUUGGUAUUGAAGUGGCUCGUAAUACCACUGGAAUUCACAUAAGCCAAAGAAAGUAUAUUUUGGAUCUGCUUAAAGAUGCUGGAAUGCUGGUGAUGGCAUUUCAUGUGUUCUUCUUGAAUCAAAGUAGUAAAAGUGAUGCGGAAGCGAUGGGUGAGUGAAACAAAGCCCUCCUAGGAGUUGUGAUGGCUUUGAAGGUGCAUGAUGAGUAUGGGUUAGAGAGGUUCGGCCAGCUCUAUGGAGAAAGGUGAAAGGAGUGAAGUUUAUAGCCUAGAUUUCUAGGAGAAGUAAAGCUAGUGCACAAAAUGGGCAGCAUAACAAUACUCAAUUAAACUUGUCAAAUACAAUGAGAUAGCCUCCCUAUUUAUAGGCUAUGUGGACGUAAAUGUUAAGCCACAUUUCUAAAGAAAAUAAAACCAAAAUUAAAUCUAAAUUCUAAGGUGCAAUGACCGGCCAUACACAACCCUAGAUUCUAGAAGGUUUCCAUAAAAAAUGCUUCCUACACUAUCCUAUCUACUAAGUACCCCCAAUGGGCCUUUAUGCAAACAUAUACAAAGCCUUCUCUCUUCCAUCCGUGGCCUCAUUUGCUUGUGUUUGAAUAUGUUUGGCCAUUGAUCUUGUAAGGGGUCCUAGACGGUCUAGCUCCAUGGAUAGCCUCCCUCCUUCACGGUCUAGACGCUCACCUUCACGUCCUAGACGCUUACUCUCACGUCCUAGACGCUCUCCUUGGUCUUGGUCUUGGUCUAGACGCUCUCCUUGGCUUGUGCCUUGGCUUCCUUGGGUAGGUGUGCUUGGCCCUCCUCCAUCAUCCCCUCCCCCUUGGAAAGGAUUUGUCCUCAAAUCCAGCUCGCCAUCGUCAUUGGUACCUACAUAUGGAGAAAGAUCAAUUACAUUAAAAGUGUCAUGUACUCCAUAUUCAAGAGGUAGGUCCAAUUUAUAAGCAUUGUUGUUGACUCGCUUGAGAACUUGGAAAGGUCCAUCACCUCGGGGACUUAGUUUGGACUUCCUUUGAGUUGGAAAUCUAUCUUUGCGAAGGUGAAGCCAAACUAAGUCUCCUUCCUCAAAAAUUAUUUCUCUCUUCCCUUUGUUGUUGUAUUUUGUGUACUUCUCAUUUUGUUGGUGUAUUUGAAUUUUAAUCUUCUCAUGCAUUUUCUUGAUAAAAUCAGCUUUGAGUACUCCUUCCUUAUGCACAAAAUCUUGUGGAUUAGGAAGGGGUAUCAAAUCCAUGGGCGUGAGAGGGUUAAAACCAUAUACUACCUCAAAAGGAGAAGCAUUAGUAGUCUUGUGAACUACUCUAUUGUAAGCAAAUUCAAUGUGGGGAAGGUACUCAUCCCAAGAUUUGUGGCUUCCCUUCAUGAUAGCCCUAAGCAUAGUUCCAAGAGAUCUAUUGACUACUUCGGUUUGACCAUCCGUUUGAGGAUGACAAGAAGUUGAAAAUUGUAGUCUUGUUCCAAGUUUACCCCAAAGAGUUUUCCAAAAGUGGCUUAUAAACUUGGGAUCUCGAUCGGACACUAUACUUCUAGGGAGACCAUGGAGUCUCACCACUUCUCUAAAGAAGAGUUUAGAAAUAUUUUGAGCAUCAUCCACUUUGUGGCAUGGAAUAAAGUGGGACAUUUUGCUAAAACGGUCCACUACCACAAAGAUAGAGUCAUGGCCUCUUGCAGUCCUAGGAAGCCCUAAAAUGAAAUCCAUGCUAAUGUCUUCCCAAGGAGCAUUUGCAAUCGGCAAAGGAGUGUAGAGUCCAUGCGGCAUUGUUCUAGAUUUUGCUUUUAAACAUGAGAUACAUCUAGAACAAUGUCGUUGAACAUCUUUCCUCAUGUGUGGCCAACAAAAUUUUGCUUUUAAAAGAUCUAGAGUUUUAUCAACUCCAAAAUGGCCCAUGAGUCCCCCUUCAUGUGAUUCUUUGACAAGGAGUUUUCUAUGUGUUCCUUGGGGAAUGCAAAGUUUUCCUUCUUUAAAAAGAUAUCCCUCGGACACAUAGUAACCUCCUUGCGCUCUAUGUAGACAUUGGGCAUAGAUGGAUGAGAGUUCUUGAUCUUCUUGGUAAAGCUCUCUUAUGUGGUCAAAUCCAAGAAUUUGGGCACCUAGUUUUGAAAAGAGAGUGUGCCGUCUUGAAAGAGCAUCGACCACUAUAUUGGUGCUUCCUUUCUUGUAUUUGAUUACAUAAGGAAAUUGUUCAAGAAAUUCCAUCCAUUUAGCAUGUCUCUUGUUGAGCUUGUGUUGGGCCCUUUAAUAUUUUAAAGACUCGUGAUCACUAUGGAUAACAAAUUCUUUGGACACAAGGUAGUGUUCCCAAGUCUUUAAGGCUCGCACAAGAGCAUAGAGCUCUUUGUCAUAGGUGGGGUAAUUGAGGGUGGGACCAUGGAGUUUUUNNNNNNNNNNNNNNNNNNNNNNNNNNNNNNNNNNNNNNNNNNNNNNNNNNNNNNNNNNNNNNNNNNNNNNNNNNNNNNNNNNNNNNNNNNNNNNNNNNNNNNNNNNNNNNNNNNNNNNNNNNNNNNNNNNNNNNNNNNNNNNNNNNNNNNNNNNNNNNNNNNNNNNNNNNNNNNNNNNNNNNNNNNNNNNNNNNNNNNNNNNNNNNNNNNNNNNNNNNNNNNNNNNNNNNNNNNNNNNNNNNNNNNNNNNNNNNNNNNNNNNNNNNNNNNNNNNNNNNNNNNNNNNNNNNNNNNNNNNNNNNNNNNNNNNNNNNNNNNNNNNNNNNNNNNNNNNNNNNNNNNNNNNNNNNNNNNNNNNNNNNNNNNNNNNNNNNNNNNNNNNNNNNNNNNNNNNNNNNNNNNNNNNNNNNNNNNNNNNNNNNNNNNNNNNNNNNNNNNNNNNNNNNNNNNNNNNNNNNNNNNNNNNNNNNNNNNNNNNNNNNNNNNNNNNNNNNNNNNNNNNNNNNNNNNNNNNNACUACUACAUAUUUACCUAUACAAUCUCUCAAGGUGUGAUUCAUAAGCCUCAUGAAUGUGCUUGGAGCAUUAGUAAGCCCAAAGGGCAUCACCAACCACUCGUAUAAUCCAAAUUUGGUCUUAAAAGCGGUUUUCCACUCAUCACCCUCCUUGAUUCGAAUUUGGUGAUAUCCACUUUUAAGGUCAAUCUUGGAGAAUAGAGUUGACCCAUGCAAUUCAUCAAGCAUAUCGUCAAGCCUCGGAAUUGGAUGCCUAUACUUGAUGGUGAUGUUGUUGAUUGCUCUACAAUCACAACACAUACGCCAUUUUCCAUCUUUUUUUGGCACCAACAAGACAGGUACAGCACAAGGGCUUAGGCUCUUUUGAACCCAACCCUUCUCCAACAAGUCUUGAACUUGUGAUUCUAUCUCCUUUGUUUCCUCGGGGUUGGUUCUAUAAGCAGGCCUAUUUGGUAGGCUUGCCCCCGGUAUAAAGUCAAUUUGAUGUUCUAUCCCCCUAAGAGGAGGAAGCCCAAUGGGUCCUUCUUGGGAGAAUAGAUCUUCAAAUUCACUUAAAAGGUUUUCUACUUGAGGAGGUAAAACCAUGAGUUCACUACUUGUGGCAGUGCAUGUAAGUGCUCCUUUACAAAAGAUAAGGCUUGGUUGUUCAACAAGAAGCAAGUUUUCAAAAACAUUUUCAAGAGGUUUUUCUUGUUGACCAACCUUGUGGGAAGGAACACUCUUCUCCCACGCCUUUCUAUCCCUAAGGAUUUUCUCUUUUUCUAGCUCUUUUUUUUUGUUUUCCUCAUCCCUCUUUUGUUUCAUUUGUAUUUGGUCUUUCACCACUUGAGAAUGUGGUAAAGGACUAAGUACAAACUUCUUAUAUUUAUGGGUGAAGGAAAUCUCGUUAGUGAGACCAUCAUGCAAGGUUUUCUUAUCAAAUUGCCAUGGCCUCCCUAAUAAGAUAUGGCAAGCUUCCAUAGGCACUACAUCACAUAAAACUUUGUCUUUGUAGUUCCCUAUGGAAAACUUGAUUUCCACUUGCUUGUCUACAUGUAGUUCCCCAUUUUCAUUAAGCCAUUGAAGUUUGUAAGGUUUUGGGUGAGGAACUACUUGUAGCUUAAGCUUUUCAACCAUCCUAGCACUACAACAAUUACAACUAGAUCCACUAUCCACAAUGAGGGAACAUAUAUUUUCUAAAACAUUGCAUCUUGUAUGAAAGAUGUUCUCCCUUUGUGUUUCCAUGGAUGUGCUAGGGUGAUUGUUGAGGGUUCUCCUAAUCAUAAGCAAUUCUCCCUCUAGUGGAGCUACCCUCUCAUCCUCUCCCCCUUCCUCUUUCUCACUAGGCUCAUCCUCGCCACUAGUGUACUCGUCUACACCUUUUAAAAACAAAGUCCUUUGGUUUGGACAUUGUGCUUGCACAUGCCCCCUACCAUAGCACUUAAAACACUUGACAUCUCUAGCUCGGAUGGGUGGGGUUGAGGUUUCUUUGGUGAAGGGUUUGGUAGGCUCUUUUGGUUUUUCCUUGGAUGUACUACCCUCCCUUCUAAACUCUUUCUUGGGAUAAAAGCUAGAAUAGGGGCUCACCUUUUGACUUGAGGUUUUGCGCAAGUUUUGUUGCUCAACUUUAAUGCAAAGCUGAACCAAAUCAUUCNNNNNNNNNNNNNNNNNNNNNNNNNNNNNNNNNNNNNNNNNNNNNNNNNNNNNNNNNNNNNNNNNNNNNNNNNNNNNNNNNNNNNNNNNNNNNNNNNNNNNNNNNNNNNNNNNNNNNNNNNNNNNNNNNNNNNNNNNNNNNNNNNNNNNNNNNNNNNNNNNNNNNNNNNNNNNNNNNNNNNNNNNNNNNNNNNNNNNNNNNNNNNNNNNNNNNNNNNNNNNNNNNNNNNNNNNNNNNNNNNNNNNNNNNNNNNNNNNNNNNNNNNNNNNNNNNNNNNNNNNNNNNNNNNNNNNNNNNNNNNNNNNNNNNNNNNNNNNNNNNNNNNNNNNNNNNNNNNNNNNNNNNNNNNNNNNNNNNNNNNNNNNNNNNNNNNNNNNNNNNNNNNNNNNNNNNNNNNNNNNNNNNNNNNNNACUUCUACAUUUUCCUUUCCAUGAAAAUGAGGUAGGUCUACUCUUGUUUCCCUUGGCACCUCUUGUUCCCUUUGCCUAGUUCUUCUAGGGGGUGGUUGGUAAUAAUCAUUGAUUCUACGGCUUCCCUCCCCUAGAGACUCAAUACUUUGAGAAUGGGAUGCAUGAGUUUUUUUUGAUUUUUGUGACUUCUCUUCUUGAGCUUUAGCCAACUCAUUGAUUUUGUUCUCAUUCUCCAAUUGUCUAAAAGAGAUCAAUUGUACCGCUUGGGAUACUUCUUUUAAAAGAGUUUUCAAAGAUUUAACUUCACUUUCUAUAGACUUUGGAGAGUGAGAAGAAGAAGACAUGGCUAAAACUUUGUGUAUAUAGGUGUUUUACUUGGAGAAAGUUUAGGAAAGUUAGAGAAGGAAGUUUUCCAGGUAAGGGAGGUGAGUCACAAAGGACUACUUAAGUACCAAGCCUUUUCCUUGCCAAAAACUUUCCUCCAAUGACUUCACACAAAAUUUUCUCUUGGUAGAACACUUAGAACACAAGAAGUUGAGAAAUCAAAAAGCAAGAAAACUAUAUAAGCUAGAUAUGCAGCAAAGCUAGUCGGUAUAGCACAAAAUUAAACAAAACUAAGCAUGCAAAACGUUUCUACCGAAACAAAGAAAAACAAGUUCAAACAAGCAACAAAUUGCUAAGCAAAAAUUACUAUGCUAUUCGGCCCUAGGUGAGGCUUCUUGGACACUUUGAGCCCUUGAAGACACACUCACCGUCUAAAACGUAAUUUAAAAGAGGUAAUUAACAAUAAUCCAAGUUGUAAAGGAGAUAAGAAAACCCCCUUUGUUGUUCCUCUUUUUGGCUAGUGCACUUUCUUUGUUGUCUUGAUUGUUGAUCUUCUAGGUGUUUGUAGUGUUUGUUUCAAGAAAGCUUGUUUCGCCUUAGCUUUGACUCCUCCUUAGAAAGUUGGCUUUAAUUCUCCAAUUUCCAGCACCUAUUCACAAGGGCUUAACCUUAAACCAAGUCAAUUUCCAUGCACAUAAGCACCAAGAGAGAAUUAAAUUCCAGCACCCAAAAUGAGAGGUCAAGAAACAAAAGCAAGAAACAAAUUUAAUUGAAAGAAAACAGUACCACCAAAAGGAUUUAUAAUAUGACAACUUAGAAAGAGAUUCAAGAAAUUAAAGCAAACAAUUAAAGGUACUCAAUAAAAGUUGGCACACAAAAGGAAUUCCUAAAGAAAAGCACUAGAUUAGAUGACCAAAUAAAAAAAAACAGCACCACUGGAAAAUGUUGUGGGCCAGAAAACGUGUUUGUUCCCCGAUUUAUGCUGAGCUGUAUUUGUAAGAUUUGUUUCUGAAAUUUGGAUACAAGAAAAUUCAGGAUCUUAUCUAAAUUUUGGCUUUGGAAUCACCUAAAACGCAUGCACCAUUUUUUUUUAAUAAUUUUUGCAAAUUUGGUGUGCAGUUAGGCCAGCUGGAGCGCUCAAGAUUUGCACUCUGAUUUUGUGAGAUUUAUCAUUUUUUUUCUGUUGCUUCUUUUGACCUCAUUCUUUUUUUGUCUUUUCUAUAACACCUUAAACUUGCAUUUUCCAGAAAUUCAGAAUUUUCCUAUGGGUAGAAAAUAUGUUUUAAACAAAACAGCCCAGAACAGAGAGGUGAUACAGGGGAAAUCUGGAAAACUGGAAGAAAACAGCAAGAUAACCAAAAUUAACACAAUGGAAAUGUGAGAAAGGAAAUUGUGUAUGAACUAAGACACAAUUAUGAACUCAAACUAAAAAUAAAAAGCACCAAAGGAUCAAAAUAACAGCAGAUUAAAGCAAUAUAAAGAGACCCAAAACAAGAAACAAUCAAGCCAAAAAAUAGGACUACUAAGAAUUGAUGACAAUAUGGAUGAACAUGACUUGACAAAACAUGUAUAGAUUCAGAAAAUUAAAGACUCAAAGCAUAAUAUGAAGCAAAAUAAUGAAAGCAAUAAAGACUCAAAGCCUAAAACAAAAUAGCANNNNNNNNNNNNNNNNNNNNNNNNNNNNNNNNNNNNNNNNNNNNNNNNNNNNNNNNNNNNNNNNNNNNNNNNNNNNNNNNNNNNNNNNNNNNNNNNNNNNCUAUCACAAAUUGCACAAGAACUUGUUCAAGAUCAAAUGAACAAGAGUGCUUCGGUUGGAUCUUCCACAAAGCACACCAAGAACAAUUUAAAAUAUAAAAACAGCAAGACAAGUAAGGAAUUGAAAUGACAAAGAUGAAAUAAAGAAGAACUGAAAUUAAAAGACCAAGCUACUCAUCUUGAAGAACCAAAAGCUCAUGAUACCAAAUGAUGGCAUUUCAUGUGUUCUUCUUGAAUCAAAGUAGUAAAAGUGAUGCGGAAGCGAUGGGUGAGUGAAACAAAUCCCUCCUAGGAGUUGUGAUGGCUUUGAAGGUGCAUGAUGAGUAUGGGUUAGAGAGGUUCGGCCAGCUCUAUGGAGAAAGGUGAAAGGAGUGAAGUUUAUAGCCUAGAUUUCUAGGAGAAGUAAAGCUAGUGCACAAAAUGGGCAGCAUAACAAUACUCAAUUAAACUUGUCAAAUACAAUGAGAUAGCCUCCCUAUUUAUAGGCUAUGUGGACGUAAAUGUUAAGCCACAUUUCUAAAGAAAAUAAAACCAAAAUUAAAUCUAAAUUCUAAGGUGCAAUGACCGGCCAUACACAACCCUAGAUUCUAGAAGGUUUCCAUCAAAAAUGCUUCCUACACUAUCCUAUCUACUAAGUACCCCCAAUGGGCCUUUAUGCAAACAUAUACAAAGCCUUCUCUCUUCCAUCCGUGGCCUCAUUUGCUUGUGUUUGAAUAUGUUUGGCCAUUGAUCUUGUAAGGGGUCCUAGACGGUCUAGCUCCAUGGAUAGCCUCCCUCCUUCACGGUCUAGACGCUCACCUUCACGUCCUAGACGCUUACUCUCACGUCCUAGACGCUCUCCUUGGUCUUGGUCUUGGUCUAGACGCUCUCCUUGGCUUGUGCCUUGGCUUCCUUGGGUAGGUGUGCUUGGCCCUCCUCCAUCAGCUGGGAUGUGCUCCUGCUCCUACACCAAUGCUCCACAAUAAUAAACUCUCAGCCACAAAAGGCAUACCCCUUGGAGAUGCAGAAUCCACUGCUUACAGACGAAUGAUAGGACGUCUCAUUUAUCUUACCAACACCCGGUCAGACAUCUCCUUCUCAGUAAAUCACCUCAGUCAAUUCGUCUCACACCCAACUAAUGAGCAUCACCAGGCAGCAAUGCGCAUUCUUCGCUAUCUUAAAAGAACUCCGGGCACAGGUAUAUUCUUACACAAUAAAUCUCCCAUUCAAUUAAAGACAUAUAGUGAUUCUGAUUGGGCUACAUGCCCCGAAACUCGCAAAUCCAUAACUGGUUUUUCUGUAUAUUUGGGGGAGUCUCUUAUAUCUUGGAAGUCCAAGAAGCAACAAACUAUAUCCAGGAGUUCAUCAGAGGCAGAAUACCGUGCCCUUGCUGCAACCACUUGUGAGAUUCAAUGGAUAACAUACCUGCUGCAUGAUUUACACAUUCAACACCAGCAACCAGCCCUUCUCUAUUGCGAUAACCAAGCUGUUAUCCAGAUUGCGCACAAUCAAGUCUUCCACGAACGAACCAAACACAUAGAGAUCGACUGCCAUGUUGUCAGGGAGAAACUCAACACAGGCCUUCUCAAACUUCUCCCUAUUCCUUCCUCAUUGCAAGCUGCAGACUUCUUCACCAAGCCUCUACCUACUGCUCAAUUCAACAUUCUGUUUUCCAAGCUAGGAAUGAAAGAUAUCUAUUCCUAGCUUGAGGGGGCUGUCAAAACUGGGCUUUUUGGGCCUCUGCUGGGCCUUUUUCCCUUUCCAGUUUUUCCUUUUAGUUUCUGCUGUUUGCACCCUUGUAUUUAAGUUUACUUUUAUGGUUUUCUGAAACUGGAAGUGAUAUUACUACUGAAUAAUAAUUAUGUUUAGUUCUCUCAUCUCCCAUCUCCCAUGUUUGCUUUCGUCUCUUGCAAUUCUCUUCUUCACCAAAGAUUCAACAUACUCUAUUACUUUUGUAAAUAUUACAGAACCUUGCUGAUUUCUCUAAGAAUGAAGACAUUGAUAUUUAAUAAUUUAGCAUAAAAGCCAGAUACUAUUUUAAAAUAGCUGCAACUAUUACGUCUAGAACUUUCACUGUGUUGUGCUAUUUAAAAAGAAAUACAUUGUGUCAUAUCAAAUACUUCUUUCAAGGAAGAAAACAAAGAUUAUGAAUUUAACAAGCGGAUAAAUUCAAUGUGAUAUUAUUGUAAAUUAUAAAUUGUAAGAUUAUUGUUUUUAAUAAAUAACGUACAAGUUUAACUCAUUAGCAAUCUUGGUAUGAGUUUGAAAGCUGAGUCAUAUAUACGAAACAAAACAUAUAAACUCUUUAUUUUCAGGCUUUAGAUUAAAUGUGGUGUUAUGUAUGAAUUGGUUCUAUAUUUAUUAAAGUUGAAUUUUUUUAGUAAAUCUUUCUUUAGAUUUAAUAUAAUAGAAUUGAUGAUUUAUUUUAGUAACAACCUUUGACCAAUAUAAUAUAAUGGAUAAGAAAAUUUCUAGGUAUUGAAAAGGUAAAAAAUAACAUACUCAAAUUAAAUAUUAUUUUAAUUAGUUAAAUAUUAUUUUAAUUAGUGUUCAUGAAGCUUCUCUUCUUUUUUCUAUGUGUACAACAUUGACACAUAAACAAAUAAUACACCACCUUAAGCAAAGAAUAGGAAACAAAUACACCACCUUAAGCAAAGAAUAGGAAACAAAUACACCACCAUCUUGUAUGUGAAAAAAAAUACAGAAACAAUUUAUCCUAGUUUGCAUACAACAGUGAAAACAAAAUCCUAUGAUGUUGAUGUAAUGUUAUUAUCACUAUUUUUUAUUUGGAUUAACCUAUUUUGUAUCACUCCAAUUCUAGUAGGACGUUCGAGGCUCCCAGAAGUUUAAACUAAUUCAUUGUUUUCACUUAAUGAUUUUUCUUUAUACAUUUUUUUAGCAGAACUAAAGACCAAAUUGACUUCUUGUAAAAAAAUAUAUCAGUCAAGGUAGAUCCAACUAUAUACACUGUCAAGACGGUCAAACAUGACUAUCGAGUCACUUGUUUAUCACUCGAAAGAGAUUCAAAACAAUUUUUCUUUCAAUUUUUCAAGGUCAAGUAUUGAGAAGCAUAUUUAGAAGUAACCUAUUUGACAACAACAAAUUUAAGACUUGUUGCAUUAGUUGCAUAUUUGAGAUGACAUAAUCCUUUUAAAAGACCAGAAUUUUUAGGAGCCAAUGAGUCAAUUUUUUUUUUCGGAAAAUCAACCAAUUCAUGGACAUUCUCCAAAAAUGGCAUAUCAACAAAAAUAUCAUCAUGAGAUCCUAAACCAACCUUUGUAUCAACACCUGCAACAAUAGAUACAUUAUCAACAACAAAUAAUUCUUCGGCAGAUUUCUUAAACUUUUGACCAAGAGAUGUAACCUCCACUUUGCAAACGAUGAUUAAACAUUAAAAUCAAAACCAUCAGUUUUAUUUUCAGCAAGCAUGAAUUUGAAUGACCAAGAAUAAUUACUUUUAAUUCUAGUUUUAAAUAUCAUUUAUAGCAUAACUCUAAUUUUAAAUGUCAUUUAUAGCAUAAAAAUUACCAGGAAACAAAUGUGAAUUUGAGAAGAAGUCUAUUGUGAGACUAUUUAGAGUCAUUGUACUCUCCAUUUGAAAAUACAGUAAAAUAAAAAAUAAAAAUAUAUUCUCUGUUCACAAAUUGGCAUCAGAGUUAUGACCGUGUAACCAAUAAUUUGUCACUACCCCAAUUAACAAAGACAACAAACUAUGACAAUUGGAACAUUCAAAUGAAAGCCAUUAUUGGAUCUUAAGAUGCUUGGGAGGUGGUUCAAGAAGGUUUCAAAGAACCAUAAAAUAUCACGGGAUCCUCAGCGGCCUAAAAAAAUGUUGAAAUAGACACGAUCGAAAGAUAAGACAACUUUGUACAUGUUGUAUCGAGUUGUUGGUGAUUCAACUUUCGAGAAGAUUGUUAAUGCAUCAACUUCAAAGAAAGUGUGAGACAUUGGAAAAGGUGUUCAAAGGUGUCGAUCGAGUUAAACAAAAUGCGUCUUCAAACUUUAUGAGGUGGGUUUGGAAGAUGUAUCUAAUUACAUUACUUUUGUACAAAUGGUAGCCAGUCAAUUUAAACGCAAUAGAGAAACUCUCACGGAUGCAAGGGUUAUGGAGAAAAUUAUUUUAAAAUGUGCAACUAGGAGUCAAUAAAUUUGGAAGAAAUGAUCGUUGAUGAUCUCGCGAGUUCUCUCUUGAAGCACAAUACCAACGAAAGAAGAAAAAAUAAGAAGUCUUGGAGGAAUCCUUACAAACAAAGAUGACCAUCAAGGAAGACAAGGUGAUGUAUGUGAAAUAUAACCGAUGAAGAGGAGGUGGAUGUGAAGGUUACGAUUUUGGCCGCAAUGGAGGUCGUGGUCGUGGAAACAACAAUGAAAAGAAAGGAAAAAAUGAACCAACAAAAUUGACGUGGAUAAGGAUUGUCGUGGAAUAGGUGGUCAUUCAAAUCGUCCAAAUGUUGAAUGUUAUAAAUGCAUAAAAUAUGGACACUAUGCAAAGGAUUGCUAUACCGAGAAGAAAAAUGGAAGAAAAUAUGUCAAUUUAGUCGAGGAAGAUGAGACAAAAUAUGAAGGGAUUCUCAUGAUGGAAAAUGAAGGCAUCACUCUAGAUAUUAGUGAUAUGGUGUGGUAUUUGGACACUGUUAAUCAUAUGUGCAGACACAAACACGUUACAAGAGAUCAAAGAUGGGCAUGUGUCUUUUGGAGACUCAACAAAGGUUCCAGUCAAAGAGUGGGGAAUGUUUUUCCCAAAAGGACGAAAAAGAAGGUACAAUGUAGGAUGUUUAUUAUGUACCUGACUUGAAAAGUAAUAUUCUUAGUAUGUGACAAUUCUUGAAGAAAGUUUGUUCAACUAUCAUGAAAGAACAAAUGUUUCACUUAAAGGAAAAAAAUAGACAAGUGAUCGCACACGUGGAGAUGGCAGAGAAUUAGAUGUUCAAACUCAACUUAAAGAAUAUACAAGAGAGGUGUUUGCAAAAUAACAUGGAGGACAAAGCAUGAUUAUUGCCUUUACAAUUUAGACACUUACAUUACGACAGGCUAAAAGAGUUAGCAAACAACUUCAAUAAGGGUAUCAAGAUCAAUAACGACUCUCUCAACUUCCACGACUCCUACGUUACAAACAAGUACAUAAUAUAUAUAUAUAUAUAUAUAUAUAUAUAUAAUAUUUUUUACCUCUACUGCAUGAUUUUGUUUCUUUGUGAUACCAACCACUUUCUUAUGAGGGACAUUAUUAGUUUUUUUGUUCUAAACAUCCACAAUUUUAUAUUGUACAUCACAAGUUUGGCAAAACAGUAAGCAGUGUUAUUGAGAUUAUCAGGAAGUCAUCUACAUCAAGAAAUAUCAUGUCCUAUCAUUUUGCAUGAAGAAAAAUUGUGACAACUUCUCAAUUCAACAUCUAAUAAAAGCAAAAUUAGGUCUUUCCACCAAAAUUAGAUUAGAUAAAGCAUAUGGUAUAUCAAUAUCAACCAACACUCUAAAAAAAAGUCUCUAAAUUUAUUCAUGGUGCAAUCACCGAGAAAAAAAAAGUAUCAUUUCCUAUUAAGAUAAUGAUUAAUAUAGAUAAAAAAUUAUAAUUUAUUUUAUAACUAAAAUAAUAAUAUGAUGAAAUAUAAUUUUUUUUUAAUAAGAAUGUAUUUUUCUCUACUCAAUAAAAAAUUGGUUAUUGCUAUUUUAUACAAAUAAAAAUUAGUUAUUUUGUUACACAUAAAUAUCCCAUAACUGCAUUUUGUAUUUAUGGAUAUUGAAUAACUUAAUAAAAGAUAAAGCUAGAUAAACUUAUACACUGAGAAUUGAGAAGCAUAUACUAUACCUCAUACACUCAUUUCAAUUAAUAUUUUCUUAUAUUCUUAUAUACUUCUUUAUACCGUCCUUCUAAAUCGAUCUUCUCAUAUAUAUUUUUAUACAAUCUUUUUUAAAUGCUUUCUCGGGAUUAAGUUAAAAGAAAAAAUAUAAAAAAUUAAAACAAAUGAAGAAAAUAAAAUUGUUUAGAUUAAGGUAAUAUAUAUAUAUAUAUAUAUAUAACACUAAUAAUUGAUAUGAGAAAAUAUUUUUUUUGUAAAUUUAUAUAUUUAAAAAAUAAAUUAAAAUGAAAAAUAAUUUUAAAUAAAAAUAAUUAUUUUUAUAAAAUUUGAAAGAAAAAAAGUUAUAUUUUAAAACAAUAAAUUAAUUUAUAAACAAAAAAAUUAAAAUGUAUUUAUUUUUUAAUUAUUUAUUUUAUUAAAAUAAAUAUAAAAUAAUUAGAUUAAAUUAUUAAAAAUAAUUAUUCAAUUAACUAUUUUAUAAAUAUUAAUAAAAUAUUUACAUCAGAAUUUUAGAUAUGUAAUCGAUUAUAUAUUUAAUGUUAACUUUCUGUCCAAAUCUUUUUACCGGAAAGUUUAACAUGUAAAACAUACCUAUUUUUUAUUUUAUUUUUAUGAUUCAGUUUCUUAUUUUUCAAAUUUUCUUUGUAUUUUGUUGUUUCUCAUUUGUUAGCGCAUUGUUUUUACCUUGAAAUAAAUAGAGUGUAAGUAAAGUUUUACAAGUAGUUUUUUUUUUUGUUUACACCAUUUGUAAGUUGAGAUGAUAUCAUAGUAAAAGAUUUUAACAUCUCAUUUUCUUAAUAUAAUCUAUAAUAAAUAAAAAAUUAAUAACUAAACACUAAUUGUAUGUUAAGUCAAUUCAAACACUUAACCUAAGUUGAGUAAAAGAUUAUUAAAAGAAUAUAAUUAAGAUAAAUAAAAAGUAUGUAAGUAUCUUCCUAAGUACAUCUUUUAAUCCAAUAAAAGUUAAAAGAGAGAGUACAUGUAAGAUAAGAAGAGGUUCACAUCUUCACACAUUAAUUAUAUGAGUCUUCUAAGAUCAUUUGUGUUAAUAUAAAACCACAAUCCAUGAAUUAAGAUAGUGAAGAGUUGGAUUAGUGAUGAAGGAAGAAGGUGAAUUGAAAAAGAUGAAUAAUAGAAAACGCCAAGAUCAUGAAAACUAGCAAGGAUCCGGAAUAUCUGCAGCUGUGCAUGUGAAAUUUAGAUGAAGUCCAAAGUAGGAGAAGCAAACCAUCUAAAUGAAUAUGCUUCCUCAUCGAAACGACAACUGAAUAACAACAAACUAACCACUCAUCUACUAUACAUAUAUGUAGCUAAACACCACGCAAACCGAACAACCACAACUUUUUUUCCCUUUUCGUUGCUCAUACAAUACAAUGCAUAUCCUAUCACACCUGUUUUUCCUUAACACAAGACAUUGUUAUCAAUCAUGCCCACUUGGCUAAAUUUGACUAAGGUUACAUAAGCUUUUGUUGUUAUAUAUAUGAUGGGAAAUUCAACACAAUAAAAAUAAUAUCUCAACAAGAGCAAUAAGCAGAUAAUAAUUUUCUCAACUUGCAAGAAUCUGUGAGUAGCAAUAAUAAAUAAUGACAACAACACAAAAACACACUUCAGGAAGACACAAAAAUACAAAUUAUGCUCAAUAACUAGCAAAAUAGCAAUACAACAUAGAUGAAACAGAGAACAGGAAACCUGAAAAUUCACAAAACUGCAGCUACCGUAUGCGGCCUAUAUGUCACUGUUCCGGUGACUUUUGAACAAUCCAAACGGUCCAAUUAAAACAUCACGAGGUUUGAACCUUCUGACAAAAGUUCCGCCCGAUCCAACAGUGGACGAAACAGCAGCAGCAAUCCGAAAGUUUUCGUCCUCACUAGAAACGUUGAGAACGCUGCUGCAGUGUGAGAUGAAUUUCUCACUGUUCAAACAACUUCUGCAAGAUCUGAACGGUCAGAUUGAAUUCACUCGAAGUUUGAACCUGCUGACAAAAUUUCAGCUCAAUCCAACGGUUAACAAAGUGUCGGGGGUGGCCAGUAGUUGCUGAGUGAAACUUUCUCUCUCUUUUCUCUCACUCUCAGUAUCUGCUAACGGCUAUCUCCCUGUUCGAAAAAUCCUAAAGGUUAAUAUUGGAUUGUGCCUCCACAUAGGAAGUGAACCCAACCCAACAAAUCUCCCCCUCACAACUAUGUGGAGAUGAUCGACAAAUCGGCAAUCUCACAACAAGUUUCAAACUUGCUUCUCAGUAGCAUCUUAGUCAUCAUAUCAACACAAUUAUGAUACCUCACAUCAAUAUGCUUGGACCUAGAAUGGAAAGUUGAAUUCUUACCAAGAUGAAUGACACUCUGACUAUCACAAAAUAGCAAGUACUUGUCUUGAACAAAACUAAGCUCUUGCAAGAAUUUCUUCACCCAAAGCAACUCCUUGCAUGCUUCUGUAAUGCAAUGAACUCUGCCUCAGUAGUGGACAAUGCAACACACUUUUGCAAUCUAGAUUGCCAUGCGACAACUCCCCCUACAAAUUUAAUCACAUAGCCUGAGGUAGACCUUCUAGAAUCUAUGUCUCCAACCAUAUCAGAAUCAGUAUAGCCCAUAAGGGUAGGCUUAUCACCUCCAAAACAAAGCUUCAAACAAGUAGUACCACGAAGAUACCUUAAAAUCCAUUUCACAGCAUUCCAAUGCUCUCUACCUGAAUUAGACAAAAAUCUACUAACAGUACCAACAUCAUGUGCAAUAUCAGGUCUUGUACACACCAUUGCAUACAUCAAACUACCCACAACAGAUGCAUAAGGAACCCGUUGCAUAUCUGAUUUUUCAGUUUCAUUAGAAAGACUUUGUUUUGCACUCAAUUUAAAAUGAGUAGCAAGAGGAGUGCUUGUCGCCUUAACAUUUUCCAUCUAGAACCUCUGUAGCACUCUUUUAACAUAGUGCUCCUGUGACAACCAAAACUUUUCCUCUUGCCUAUCACGCAUGAUUCUUAUACCAAGACUUUGCUUGGCAGCUCCCAUGUCUUUCAUAGCAAAUGACUCACUCAAUUGCUUCUUCAACCUGUUGAUCAUGGAAAUAUCUUUCCCAACAAUAAGCAUGUCGUCAACAUACAACGGGAUAAUGAAAUCAUUAUUAGCAAACCUUUUAACAAAGACACAAUGAUCAGAAGUAGUCUUCUUGUAGCCAUACUCACACAUAACAGACUCAAAUUUCUUGUACCAUUGACUCGGAGCCUACUUCAAGCCAUAUAAACUUUUCCUCAGCCUACACCCAUGAUCUUCCUUGCCUUCAACAAGAAAACCAUCAGGUUGCUUCAUGUAAAUCUCUUCCUCCAAAUCACCAUGAAGGAAAACAGUUUUAACAUCCAUUUGCUCUACCUCUAAAUCAAGAGUAGUAGCCAAACUCAAGCACAAUUCUAAUAGAUGACAUCUUCACCACAGGAGAAAAUAUCUCAUUGAAAUCAAUGCCUUUUCUCUGUCUAAAGCCAUUCACCACCAAUCUGGCUUUAUACCUUGGAGAUGUAGAAAUGCUUUCUUAUUUUACCCUAUAAAUCCACCUGUUUUCCAGAGCCUUCUUGCCUUUUGGCAAUUUCACCAAGUCAAAAGUGUGAUUAUCAUACAAAGACUUUAUUUCAUCUUGCAUUGCAUCCAACCACUUUUUCUUUUCUUCACUCUCUAUGGCCUCAAGAUAACACUCAGGUUCUCCUUCAUCUGUCAAGGUAACAUAGUCAUCAGAAGAAUACCUAGUAAAUGGUUCCCUCUGCCUAUUAGACCUCCGAAUUUGAACUUGAGGUGGUUCAGGAGCAUCACCAAGAUCUUUAUCUUGUGACAUCCCAUGUUCCUAUUUAACGUCAUCAAUAGGAACAUCAAAAUCAUCUCCAAGUUGUUGAUCAUCAACAUCAUCAUGUUGCUCAUCAUUCUUAACAUUAUUCUCAAUAGUAUCCAGAUCACAUAGAGGCAUUUGAACUGGAUCAACAUUAGACAAUCUAUUAUCUAUAUUAGAUGUCGUUUUCUCUAUCUUGUCAAUAUCUUCCAUGGUUUGAUCUUCCAUGAACUUCACAUCACGACUUCUAAUUGACUUCCUCUCAACAGGAUCAAAGAACUUGUAGCCAAAUUCAUCUUGACCUGAACCAAUAAAGAUGCACUGCCUUGUCUUCGCAUCCAACUUGGAUCUCUCAUCCUUUGAAACACGCACAUAUGCUUUACAACCGAAGAAUCGCAAAUGAUCAUACCUUACAUUCUUGCCAAACCAAAUCUUGUCUGGCACCUCACCAUUCAAAGCAACUGCAGGACUCAAAUUAAUAACAUGCACUGCAGUGUACAAUGCCUCACCCCAAAAAUGCUUAGGCAACUUUGCUUCAGAAAGCAUACACCUAACUCUUUCGAUCAAUGUUCUGUUCAUCCUUUUUGCUAAAUCAUUUAGCUGAGGAGUUUUAGGAGGAGUCUUUUCAUGUUUAAUACUGUAUUGCUUGCAAUAAACAUCAAACGGUCCACAAUACUCACCACCAUUGUCAGUACGAAUGCAUUUCAGCUUCUUGCCUGACUGUCUCUCAACCAAAACAUGAAUUUCUUUGAAUUUCUCUAUAACUUUGUCCUUUGUCUUCAAAGCAUAAACCCAAAGCUUCCUAGAGCAAUCAUCAAUAAAGGUAACAAAAUAAAGUGCACCAGUAAAUGACUUUACUCACACAUUCACUCUAACAUACUCGAAUCUAAAGACAAUUUUUUUUUUACACUUUCUUCUCAAAUUCUCAUACUUCCACUCCCUUAAAUUCUUACACUUCAACUUCUCAAUCUAAACACAAGAAUAUUAUGAUUUUCAUGAAAGAAAGAAAUUCAAAAUAUAAUUAAAUAGAUGCUAAAUGGCAAAUACUUAUGUGCUAAAUAUAACUUUUUCUCACUAUAUGAUUUCGAGCAUAAUUAAUUAGUUGCAUUUGUCAAUUAGUGAUUGAUAUGAUUUAUUACCAUUAAUCUACAUGUAUAGCAAUGGAGUCAAAACUAGUAUGCGUAUUUUUUAUAUACUUUUAUAUAAUUAUUGACGUAUUUUUUUAGUCAAACAAACAUAUAAUCUUAACUAUUAUUUAGGGCUAGCAAUGGGACAACCUGCUACAAAAAAGUGCAGGACAAGUUCAUUAAUCUAAUUCGUUGAUCUGUUUAGGCUCGUUUUGCAGACCAAGCGAGACGAGGUGGGUUAGCCAGCUGACCCGCAUAAAUAAAAAAAUAAUUAUUUUAUUUUUUCUGAAAAAAUAGUCAUAUCCCACUCACUCAUUAUUCUAGUGUGACCUUUAUUUUAUUUUAUUUUAAAAGAAUUGAAUUUAAUAUACAAAAAAAUGAAAUGUUUUAUUUUAAUCAUCUAAAUGAGUUAAUAUUAAGAGUGACAACGGAUUUAGUUUUAAGUAAAGUCUUAUAUUUAAAAUUUGUUAAUAAAAAAAUAAUAUAAAUAAGAGAUUUCAAUAAGAUACUCGUUGAAAAAUUAGUCAUCUUCAUUCAAAUAUUUUGUUGCAAAAUUUUGAUAAGAUACUCUAAUACAUUAGAUACAUAUAUAUGGAAAAUAAAUGCAAAAGAAAACUUUAAUUAUUUUUAAUCAAACCUUCUAACAACCCUCAUACUCAAAUUCAUAUUUUUAUCUUAAUUGAAUGAAUUAAAACAAUAAAAUUUUAAUUUUUCAGUAGCAAAAAUAGUUUUUUAUAAUUAAUGAAACUUUAAUUUUUUUUUAAAUAUUUUUCUUAUACAAACUGACCCGCAGGCGAACUAUUUCUUAUACGGGGUAAAAUAGUAAAAUGAGUUCGCACUCCUUAUACAUGGUAGAAUAGUAAAAUGAGUUCGCACUCCUUAUACGGGACAGACUAAUCCAAUUCACAUUUUAUAGACCGAACACAUGAUGGAUCUAUACAGAACGAACUAACCCGCAUUGUCACCUCCUAUUUCUUAUGUUUUUUUCAUUCUCUUUUUACACUUUCUUUUAAAGGUACUUACUAAAUAAUUAACAGAUAGAAUUUAUGUGAAAGUGGUUUUUUGUUUUGGUUUUCCUUUGCACGAGAAUCACGGUGUUUCUUAUGUUUUUAUGUUUUGAAAUUGUAGUAGUCCAUCUCAAACACUAAUUUAUUUUGUAUUUCGAAUUAGUUUAUAUCAUAAUGAAUGUGAUUCCCAAGGUGACUACAUUUUGUAUCAUUUAUCUAUAUAUCUAUAAAUCUAUAAAUCUAUAAAUCUCUAAAUAUAUAUAAGUAAAGGGUAUUUCUAAGGAAAGUUUUGCCACGUGUCCCCACAAGAAAUUUCGGUUUCAAUUCUGAGUAAGAUGAUUGCUUUGGUUAAAUAAGAGGUAAUUUUGAAAGUUUAACAAAAGGGGAAUGCAGGAAAAGGAAAUGGUGAUAACUGAUGAAAGAAAAGACAGUUCCAAAUAGCACAGCUAUAAGAUUAAAAAAGCAGAAGAAAGGGUAAAAAAAAACAUUAUUGGUAGCUUCAAUAAAGCAUGGGGUCAAGGAAUUAAUUAUUAUUAUUACAUCAAAAAUCCAUGUUGGGAUGAGGGAAUAUUGAAAAUGUCUCCAAACAUAUGCUAUAUUGCAAGGUGUCACCUAAGUCAACAUGAAGUUGCAUUUGUCGUAGCCUGUGCAAAACCAUGGGUUUUACAAAAACACACAAGUUAGUGUAAAUAUACUUAGCAUUAGUACAUAGUAAAAAAGAAGAGAAAGAAUAUGUUACUAAUAUGAGAACAUAGUAUAUAGAUAUAUUCUUCUUACUUUCAUCAUCUAAUUAUAAAUUAACUCUCUUACCCAAAAAAAAAAUCUAAUUAUUAGCUAACUUAUAUGAUAAAUUUAUUUACCUUGGCACUAUUUAUUUUAAAAAUUAUUCAAAAUUUAUGGGUAAAAUAUUUUUUUAUCACUUCAAAAUAUGUAAAUUUCGGUUUUAUUUUCUCAAAAACAAAACUGCCCAUUUUUUAUUCCCAAAUUAUAAAACUUGCUACUUUUAGUUUUAUUAAUUAAUUAUAAGCAUUUGUACCCGAGAUAUUAUGAACAAAAACUAAAAAGAAUUUUUUCAUAAGAAACUAUUAACUUAUGUUUAAGUUAUAAAACAUAAUUUAGUGAAAUUAUGCAUGGAAGUUGUAUAAACCCUAAUGGUUAAACCUUAAUAAUAUUUCUGAGUAUUGCACAAUUACUUACUUGGAUCAACCGUGACGAGCAUGGCAGUUCCACCAAAGUCACAAGUCCCUCCACCAAUCUUAGUGUUCUGCCAGUAACUAUUGAAGGCAAAGGAAGCAUGGGACAGUAGAGUGUUGGGCUGGAAGCAGAGCCCAUUGGGCUGAAUUGAUUUGCAAUCUGCUCCAGACCCACAGGCAUAGUCCAUGGCCUCCUGAAUGAUCGGGUCUGGAACCGUGGGCUUUGCCACACACCAAAGGGCGUACUGUGGGGGCUUUUUGCGGUGCGUGGAGGGUGAAGGGGGUGGUGGGAACACCACAGGAGGUAGGUACACCAGUGGUGGUGGGCUUUGACUUGGAACACUCUUUGGUGGGCCUGGUGGGCUUGGAGAAUGCUUUGGUGGGCUUGAAGAAGAAUAAGGAGAUGGUGGUGGUGGUGAAGAAGCAACAAUGCUUCUUGGGCUUGGGGGCCCAUGAUAAGGUGGGCUUGGAAGAGGUGAAAAUGCUGGGAGAUUAGGGUUGCCAACGCCACCUGUGGUUGGAGGUGCCAAUGGAGGAGCAGUGGAGCUUGACGAUGGUGGUAGUGAAUUGUAAGGUGGCAAGGGUAGGGAAGAAGGAGAGCCAUAUGAAUCAAAAUCUGAGAACCCAAAUGAAUCAAAUGAUGAAUACUUGCUCAAACGUUUUAAAGAUUUCAUUUUCAGCUUCUUGGAGGAUUUGAUGAGGGUGCUUCUAUGGAUUCUGUGACCCCUUAAUAUAGCCCUUCCAUGAUACAUAGCAUCUGAAACAUAAGAAAAAAAAAACAUUAGGGUUACUACACUAACCAAAACUGAAAAAAAAAAAAACUAUAUUAUGGACUUUACCACACAUAGGGAAAAGAGUGGAAGCUAGCAUUGAGAAACUAAGAAAUGCAAUGGUGAGUCUAAGAAUGUGAUCCAUUGUAGAAGAAUUGAUGUUGGAAAUGUAAAGAGUUGAGGAGAGUGAAACAUGCAUGGCAAUAUAAGGAGCCCUAGUAAAGUGAGAAGGCUUGAAGAUGAACUAAAGUUAUGAUUCUGCGGUGUUCACUUUAGUUUUGUUGGUGUCACUUAAUAGCAAUGCAUGCAUUUGGAUAUUAUAUUAGAGUGAGUUUUUGUUGUGAGGAAUAUAUGCUUACUUGGACGUGAACCUUGGUCUUGCUUGUGUGCCACUCAAAGAACUACAUGAGAUUUGGGGUCAUUUUUUAUAUAUGUGAUUAAGCUUUUCAAAUUCUUGCUUUUAAAAUUCCUAUUGUGAUUGAACUCAUCAAAAGUAUAAGUUGAAGACUCACUUUAAAUCAUAUCAAUAUAACUAGCUAAAACAUAGUUUUCUUUUAUAUAUACGUGUCAACAUUUUUAUAUGUAGAAAAAUAUAACUGUUGUAACUACACUAAAAAAACUAAAUUUUAUUAGUGAUUUAUAUUUAGUGGUUAUAGUAAACCGUUAGAAAUAAUAUAAUUCCUGUCAUAUUAUUCUAAUAACAUUAAUAUUAAUAAUACUAAUAAUAGCAUUAAUACAUAAUAUUAACAUUAACAAAUAUUAAUAAUAAUAUUAAAAAUAAUUCUAAUAACCGCCAAAAAAAAGUUAUAUUACUUUGAUAUUUUUUAACUUUUAAUUAUUAAAGUGGAAACACUAACCAAACAAAAAAUUAUUUUGAUAUUUCUGUUUUUAAUUUAGUUACUACAAACAAGUUUUCUAUGAGAUUUCUCGAAUCUUACAAUAGUUUGUUUUCAUGAUUAUUGUAUAAAUAGAUAAUUUCUGCAUCAAAUCAGCCUAUAAACAAACAUCUUCAGAUUUCAAAGGCCCGUGUUUAUAUUUUUAAAUUUCAAAAAUACUUUUAUUAAUUUUCCUUCUUCUGGAUAAUGUCACUUUGCAUGUCAAAUAACUAUAGAAAUUUAUGUUUAUGAUAACUCAUUAUCAAGAAAACAAUUAAUUAUUAAUAUUUCUAAUGUUAUUUACAAAGAUAAAUUAUCUUCAUUUAUUGAUUAUCAUCUAAGUUCAGAAUAUAAGAUAGUUUUAACAUAUAAUUGUAAUAAAUAAUUAUUUUCUUUUCUUUUUAUUUUAGUUAGUAAGUUACUUGUAUUCAUAGGAACUAUGUAGAAUAAAUAAUUGAAGUAAGAUAAUAACACUCGUGCGGAACCGUUGAUAGAGAGAAACAAGGUGAAAUCUCUAAUCGCAAACAAGAGAGAAUAGAGAAAAGAAUAAAGAUUGAAAUGUAAUAAAGAAGGUAAAACGCACAAAUGAGAAAGUAUAUUUCGUAAAAUGAAUUAUUAUGUUACAGAAAGCAAAAGUGAAGGUGUAUAUAUAAAUCAGUAAAGGAAAAAUGUAAAAAAAUGUUACAAAUAGUAAACGGGGCCAAUCAAAGCCCAUUAAACUAAAUUUGGACUUUAUCACCCCCUUUAAGCUAGGAGUAUAUAAUUUUUUUCCUGGCUUGGACUUGAUUUCUUUAUAGAUUGCAGGACAAGAGGCUUGGUGAGGAUAUUAGUAAUAUGCAAAAAGGAUGCUAUAGGAAGUAAUUUGAAAAGGCCAAUAGUAAUCUUUUCUCAAACAAUUUGAUAGUCAAUCCCAAUAUGCUUUGCGCGCUCAUGGAAGACUUGAAUAGAAGCAAUUUGAAUGGCAAAUUGGUUGUCAUAACACAAGAUUAUGGAAUUCCAAGUUUGUGAAGAAUGUAUGUCAACCACUGGAUCUCAUAAGUUGUUGUGGUUAAAGCUCUAUAUUCAGCUUCGGAGGAGCUUUUGGAGAUUGUCUGUUUUUUUUUAUUUUGAUGAGAUUAAAGACUCCCCUAAGAGGAUAACCAGUCACAAAUUUUUGAGUUUCAAGACAUGUGACUCAAUCUAAAUCAUUGUAUUCGCAAAGUUAAGUAACAUUGUUGCAAAGUUAAGUAACAUUGUUGCAGUGGAGAAAGAUGUCAGUCCUGGGACUAACUUUUAAAUAACAAAGAAGAUGAAAGACGACGUGUUGAUGGAGGGUGAUAGAAGAAGAGGUAAAUUGGCUUAAAUUGUUGACAGUGAAGAUGAUAUCAUGUUGAGUGUUGGUGAGAUAGAUAAGUCUGCCAUUAAGUCUUCUAUAAGUAGAGCAUUAUGCUUUAGUAAGUUUUGUACCCUCUGAAGAAGAAAGUCAAGAUGGUAGUAUCCAUAUUCUCAAGAUUUGGAAUAUCAAAAUCAAACAUAAUAUCACAGUUUAUAUUAUAGUUAUCAAGAAUAGGUAAAGACAAAUUGUUGGGGCUUCAUGUAUCAUCAUUGUUCAAUCUGCAUGGAAAAUGAUUUUCAUGAAAGAUGACAUGUCUUGAGAUCUCAAUACGAUGAUAUUUUUAAUUUAAAAGAAUAUAACCUUUGGUAUUGUGUGGAAAACUGAGAAAAAUACCAUGAACAGAUCUUGCAUCUAAUUUCUUUUUAUUAGCAUUAAUGGUAUUGGAAUAGCAAGAACAAUCAAACACAUGUAAAAAGGAUCUAUCAUAAGGUUUGCCAAACAAUUUUUCAUAAGGAGCAAUGAUUUGCAACAAACGAGUGGGUGUACAGUUAAUGAGAAAAAUAACAUGUUGAACACCAAAAUCCCAAAAGAUAGGAGAUAAAUUAGCUUGAAACAGUAAAGCACGAGUGACAUUUAAAAUAUGUUGGUGUUUAUGUUCAGCUAUGUCAUUUUGUUGUGGUGUUUCUAAGUAAGAGGUUUGAUGAAUUAUGCCUUUAGAGGUAAAAAACUUUUCAUUGCAAAUUCAGCCCCAUUAUUAGAAUAUAUAGUUUUAACUUUAGUAUUGAAUUGAUUUUCAAUGUAAGCAACAAAUUUAAUAAGAUGAGUUCUAACUUUAGAUUUUGAAUGCAAAAAUAUAGUCCAUGUAUAAAGAGAAAAAUCAUCAACAGUUGUUAGAAAAUAUCGAAAACCUUGCAUAGAUGUAACAAAACAAGGACCCUAAAUAUCAACAUGAAUUAGGUCAAAGAUAGCAGUAGUUUGAGAAGUACUUAAAACAAAAGGAAGUUUUCGUUAUUUGUUACGAUUACAAAUAUCACACAUAUGAGUCUUAUUAGCAUAAACAAAAGAGUAUUGAUUUUUCAAGUCAUGCAACCUUUCAUCAAAAGGAUUCCCCAUUCGAUAAUGCCACAUGUUAGUGUCCUUAAUAGUGCAAUAUACAAAAUGAACAAAAUUGUGUGUGGCAGUUUGAAAAAUAGUAGAGCCAAAGAUAUACAAGUCAACUUUGGCAUUAACUAAACCAAUCUUCUCUUUGGAGAGGUUGUCCUAUAUCAGACAAUGUGUGGGAGAAAAGAUCAAGUUACAAUUUAGGUGCAGAGACAAUUUAAAAGUUGAAAUGAGUUUACAAGCAAACUAAGGAAUGUAUAAUACAUCAAGAAGAUAGAAUUUAUUAUUGAAAAUAAUUGUCCUAUAAUAGUCUGCAAAAACAUGUUGACCAUUUGGUAAAUUGAUAAGGACAAGUUUGAUACUUCUAUAAGAAAUGAAAGUAGAUAAAAUAAUGCAUACAUGAUUAGUGGCUCCAUAAUCAAUAAUCCAAAUAUUUUGAGUAUGCUAUAAAAAGGUGAAAGUAUUCUUGCCUGUUGAAGACUGCUCAUGUGCUUUGUAAUCUACAAAAAAUAAGUCCACUUGAUUCACUUGGACAGGAUUGGCUGCUCUGUCACUAUUAUUUUGUCUUAACACAUCGGUUAGAAUCUGAUAUUGAUGAGUUGUGAGAAGAUAGACAUGGUUUUCAUGCUCUUUUUGACAAGUCACAAAAAAAAUAUCAUCAGUAACAACCAGAUUAUUAACUUGAUUAGCCCUAUUAUUUCUAUAAAAUUUGUUAGAAUUAAUGGCCUAAACAAGAGGGGGUGAAUUGUUUGACAAAAUAUUUUCGCAAAUAUGAUCUAAGAGUGAAGAUUUAUGAAUCAAUUACAGAAAGAUCAAUCAGGGGAGCCAAUAAACCAAAGUUGUUAAAACUGUUUGUAGAAAAACAAUUGGUUGAAAUUUCGUUUUAACCGGUUGUUUAUAGCAGCAAAGACAAAAACCACAUCAAACAGUUUGUAAUGAGUGAGAGAGAGAGAAGAUUACACAAUCAAUUUAUACUGGUUCACUCCUUACCAAAGCUACAUCCAGUCCCCAGAAAAUCACUGGGUAUUCCACGAAGAAUCAAUCAACAUAUUACAAUUACACAACACUACAAAGAGGUGAUCUUGAUCCCACAAGAACACACACACUCUUUUCCUUUUCACACAACCACAGCCAGAACAACCUUUUGUUGGGUCUAUUAGUGUCUAAGUUCAAGAGGGGAGGGGUGAAUUGAGCUUAUAAAAUUUUCGCAAGAACACACAAUUUUUCAGUAUUCCAGAGGCAAAAAGAACAGAUUGUUUUUACAUGAAACAGAUUGAUUUUUCAGAGCAGUAUUGGCACAAUUUGAAUUUUGUUCACUGUAAAAUUGUGAUCAACAGAGAAUCAGAACAGAACCAGAUCAGCUUAUUAUUGUGAGGAUAAAGGAUAUAGCUAUGCUUAGAGAUCAACCAAAAUUACACAACACAAGAUUUCAAGAAAAAUGAUCCUUUCACAGGUUUUAAUGAAUGGUCAGUUUGUUCACAAUUCACUUAAGCCAUUAUAUGCAGCAACCUUGUUUAUGAUCAGAAAACUUUAACAAGACAGGAAGAACAAUUUUCACUUAACCCAGAAUUAACAGAUUCAAUUUAAAAAGAACAGAUUUAGUUCUUGACAGGAUUAAGCAAAAACAGAAAAGAGUGCAGGGAUGAGAAUGCAAGAUACACACGUUUUUAUACUGGUUCACUCAUACAGAGCUACAUCCAGUCUCACCUUACCCCAAGGUGGAAUUCACUAAAAAACAGUGCCAAUCACUUACAAAACCAGCAGUUCUUGAACACUACAAGAACACCACACACAAUGCUGAAAAACCCUAUUUCAGCACACCUUGCACUCCAAGAAACCCUAUCAAGGAGUGACUAACACCUACACCUUUACAAAACAGAAUAAAGGAAAGAUUACACCUGAAAAGAAGAUGCAAGAACUCAAAACCAGUAGUUCAAUUUGCUGCAGAAACUGCACCAGCACCUUCACCAAGAUUCAAGGUUUCCUAGAACAAGCACACUUGAAAAUCUCUUUGGAAACCUUUCAAAAACUCUUUCAAUCCUUCUUCUCACAUGGAAACUGUUUGAUCUCUGUCAAAAGCGUAAUUCCUCAGCCCUUGUUCAUGUGAGAGAGACAUUGUUUAUAUAGAAAACAGUUUCUAACUUCUUUUCAAAAAACAGUUGAAAAGCAGUUAAGAAAACAACAGAUUCAGUUUUGAACUUAACAGAUUUAUUUUGUGAAAACUGCCAACUCAGCUUAACAGAAAUAACUGUCUGAGUGGUACCUUUGGUGCCCUAACUAACUUGUGAAAAACCUUUCAGCACACCAAAGAAUAAACCUGUUCUUUCACAGUAAAACAGAUUAAAGUAUAACACACAAGCCAGCUCAUCUUAACUGAAAUAACGAACUGAGCUUUCCCUUGGUGCCUUAACAGAAAUUUAGAAAAGCCUUUUAACAGAGAAGAAAUAAACAGAUUCUUUCUCCAUAAAACAGAUUUAUUUGUGUACUGUUUUAAAACUGUUAAAACCAUUUUAAAAAGCUUUUCAAAAACCAUUUAACGAAAGCCUUUUUAACAGGGAAGAAAUAAACAGAUUCUUUCUCCAUAAAACAGAUUUAUUUGUGUACUGUUUUAAAACUGUUAAAACCAUUUUAAAAAGCUUUUCAAAAACCAUUUAACCACAUCAUGUGCUUGAUCUAGACUUGGUUAGGCAUCUAGGAUAGGUUACACAGCAAAAGGCAAUCAUACACACCUACAAGCCUAAUUGCAAAUGAAUCUAAAACCCUAUUACAAUCUUCAAAGCACUCAAGCCAUUUUCUUCAUCAAACACACAUCAAGCCUUGGUAGGGAAGAAGCUUCCUCCAGCUUCAACACCUUUGACCUUACAGAUUUAAUGUUUUACAAGAAUACAAGAUGAAAAACAAUUACAAGAAUAGAGGAACAGAUUACACCUAGUGUACAGGAAAUCGCAGAGCUCCUAAACCACUUGCACAACCUUAGGCAAUCUUAGCUUGAAUCAAAUCUCCCUAAAAAAUCUUUCUUAAUCUCACUUUCUGUGUGUUUUCAAAUAUGGAGGGUAACUAGUUUUAUACCUCUUCAAUCUAGCCAUUUUAGGCAGUUAAACAUGAGCCAAAACAUAUUCAAAUCAACUGAAAACAGAUUUAACAAGUUUUUUGAAAAGCUGUCAAGAAAUUUGACAAUCAACCGGUUGAAAUGUCGUUUUAACCGGUUGAAUUGGUUUUGACAGUUAGUCAACCAAGUCAAAAUCAGUUUUGAAAACCCUUAAACAAGCUAAGUGUAAACACAACCGACUAAACCGUGAAAUCAACCGGUUGUUUUUCACUAGACUUUAGAAAAACACUUUUCUUUUCCAAAACAGAUUGAUUCAGCUAUGCAUUGGUUUAAGAAUGAACUUUACAAAUUCUAAACAACCCAGAACUUAACCCAAACACAACAACACAGACACAAGUUUUCUUCACAGAUUUGGAGGCAUCAAAGCUUCAUUUUCUACAGAAAUUAUACCUCGGAGGGUAUCUAUGUUUCUUAUACCAGUGCAGAAACGAAACUGUUAUAGUAAGUACAUAACUUUCUAAUGUGUUGAAUUUUGUGUUCCUAUUAUCUUGAGUAGGAAACACAAUCUUUCUAAAACAAACAUUUUUGGUAUGCCCAUAUUUGCCACAAAAAGCACAUAACAUAGAAGUAGUGAUCUGAUUGGAAUUGGCAUUAUUGAUACUGGAAAUAUUAACAAAGAUAUUAUUAGCUAAUUGUCUUUCUUAUUAUGCAACGAGGGAUUUUAUUUUAUUUUUUGGUAUGGGUAGGAUGGGCUUCAUGAGUAAAACAUGUGACCUUAUAUUAUUAUACUGAUCAUUCAAGCCUCUUAAAAAUUGCAUAGCAUGAUCUUCGCAUUUCCUUUGACUUAUGAUGGAACCAACAAAGCAAGAACAUUUUACAGAACAUGUGCAUAUAGCAUUAGGCCUAAAAUUAUCUAACUCAUCCCAAAUAAGUCUCAGUUUAGUGAAAUACUCAGUCACGGAUAAAUUCCCUCGAUUUAAAGAAGCUACCUCAAGUUGAAGAUCAGAAAUUCUAGAUAAGUCACCCUGAAAGUAUAUGGUUUUCAAAUCAUUCCAGAUAUCCAAGGAAACAUCCAUCCACAUAAUACUUUGCUGAAUUGGAAGAGAGACAAAGUGCAAUAACCAUGAAACCACCAUAUUAUUGCAUAUGUACCAGGGCGAGUAAUUUGAAUGGUUUUUCUUUGGGCAAGGAUUCGCAUCAAGGAUAAAUUCCACUUUGUUCUUGUCAUUCAAGGCCAUCAUGAUUGAUCGGCUCCAAGAGUGAUAGUUGGAUGAAUCUAGCACUAGCAAAACAAGCGAAGCAUCAAGGUUUUCACUUGGAUAAACAUACAAAUAGCUACUCGCUGGUUGAUCCAUUUGAGAAGAUGAAGUGGAAUGUUCAUCAACCAUUACUACAAGAAAAGAAACAAAAACAAAAAAUUCAAGAAAGGAAGAAUAAUAAAAAAAAAAGAAAAAGAAAGAUUUGGAGUGCACAAUAGAGCUUUUCAACCGAAAAACUCUAAUACCAUAACACGAUCGUCAACUCAAGGAGAAGAACCCUAAAAGGACAUGACGAGUGAGAGGCGAAGGCGAAACUGAUGAUAGAGAGAAGUAAAAAGCAAGAAUGUGAAAAUCCUAAUCACAAACAAGAGAGAAAACAAAGAAAAAGAUAAAGAUUGAAAUGUAAAAGACAACACACAAAUGAAAAAUAUAUUUUGUAAAAUAAAUUAUUGUGUUAAAAAAGAAAAAAAAAACAAAGAUGUAUAUAUAAAACAAUAAAAGAAAAAAGUAAAACAAAUUAGAAAUUAGAAAUAGUAAACUAGGAUUAAUAUAAGUCCCAUUAAGCUAAACUUGGAGAAAAGAAAAAUAAUUCAAGACACCACUUUUUUUCUACAAUACAACAUUCCAUGGUAAAUAUUUUUUUUUUUAAAUUUAAUAAAAUAAUUCUAUAAUAUUCUAUUGGACUUAUACGUAUCGAGAAGUAAAUCUUGAAUAUGUUUAUGUCAAUGAAAAAAUAAUGUCUAUUUGGAUAAAUUUAUCGUGUUUUGAUUUUGGUAGAAAAUUACAUUUAACAUCCAUUUUCUAACCAAUUUUAUUAUUAACUUUAGGAGAUAUUUUAUUAUAAAUUUGUAAGAACGUGAAUGGAUAAAUAAUAACAAUAUUUUUAAGAUUGACAAUGCACAACCCUCACCCUAAUACAUUUACUUUCUCUCAAAUAGUGAUUGGUAUUAACUUAACUAUCUAUUACACAAAUCAUAUAAUUAUGUGUUUUGUUACAAUAAAAAAACAAUGUGUCAAUGUUACUAAAAUUUUAGUUACAUAAUUUUUAUAAAUAAUCCCUAAUAUAUUUUUAUAAUUGUAUCAAUCCUAAACUACUUCAUUAACAUAAUUUAAAUUUUUAAAAACAAAAAAUAUAUUUUAACUUUAAUAAUAUUUAAAAAAAAUAGUAAAUAUUUUUAACUUAUCAUAUAAAAUAUUUUUAAUUCAAAUUAUUUAAAAUAUUUUAUAUAUUUUUAAUAUAUCAAAACUUGAUUUAAGUAAGUUUUGUAAAGAAAAAAAAAGUUUUAAUUCUUUAAUUUUAUAUAUGAUUUUUUUUAAAAUAAAACAAAAUUAAAAUUUUGAUAUUAAAUAUUACAAGAUAAAAAAUUUCACAACAUUAUUAUUCAGUUUAUGUGAUUUUAAUUUUUUUUUAAAUUAUUAUAUAUAUUUUUUCAUUUUAAAAUUAUUAAUUAUUAUUUUGAUAAAAAAAAUAUUUUAACUCAAGUCGUCAACUAGAAAACAAUUUCACUUCCAAUAAAAUACAUUAAAAUCGUAAAAUCUAAGUAAUUUUUUUUAUAUUUUAUUUAAACUAAAAUUAUCAUUCUACUUGAUACAUUAAAAAAUCUAAAACAAAUUAGUGGAAUUAUUUCAGUUCAAAUAAAAUAUAUUAAAAUCGUAAAAUUUAAAUAGAUAUAUUUUAUAUUUUAUUUAAACUAAAAUUAUCAUUCUACUUGAUACAUUAAAAAUUAGUGGAAUUAAUUAAAUGAUUGACGACUUUAAUUCAAGUGUUUCAUAUCCAUAUAGGACUUUUGAAAAUGAAUUGUUUACUUUUAUUAUUUUUUGUGUUCAUUUUCAUAUUUUCAUUACUAAAUCAAACCUUUUGUGUAAUUACCUCCUUCCAUCUCCUAGGAAGAACCAUUAAUAAAACAUUUUUCUUCGAAAAAGUUUAAACAGAUAGAACAAAUAGUUUAGGACAAAAUCAGUGGUUUAUUCAAUAUAAUCAGGUCAUUUUAGCAUUUUAAAUUUAAUUAUUUUAAAACAAACUAAGUCAAACGUGCAAGUACUUAAGUAAAAGUUAUAAAGUGGUUUAUUUUAUUAUCGCAUUAAGUAUUCUAUUAUUUUAGUUACGUGAAGACGCAAUACCCCAGGGUAAGACAAUUGAAGUCACGUGAAUGCUGUUGAAUAAUGAUGUUUCUUUGACACGACAGACAUUACAAUUUGCAACGGUUACUUUGCGUGUCGUUGUCACUGUUUCUCUUUCUUCCUUUUUCCCUUACCCAACGUAAAAGCUUCCAAAUUGGUCUUAGUGCAAAGAAAACAAAGAGACAGAGGAAAAGAAAAACACAGCCAUUGUGUUUUGCAAUGGAGUUUCAAAGAAAGUCAGUGAAAGAGAAAGCAGAAGAGGAAGAGGAACAAGCAAUGGUGUUGAAAACUACAAAAGUGGUGGAGUAUUUGGUGCCAAAGAUGUCAAUUGAGCUUCUGUGCAAGUUUCCAGAUAACUCUGCUUAUGACUUUGACUACUCUCAGAGCACAAUAUGGUCCCCUUUGCUUCCCGCACCCUGCACUCCAAUGGAUUUGAAUCUCAUAACUCCAAAAAAGCUUUCCUAUGAGAUGGGUUUGGGAGCAAGGUGCAGUGUCAAGAAGGUGGGUUCUAAGCUUAGGAACAAGUUCAAUCUCAACCUUCAUUUCAUCAACAAACAUGGCAAGAACAAGAACAACAACAAGAAACUGUCUUCUGAUUUCUCACCAACACCCUUCAAAGGUUCUUGCAACCCCAUCAUGAACAAGGUAAUUUUAGUUUGUGUUACAUUUUUGCUUUGGUUUAUGUUUCUGAUUCCCAUUAAGAUUUUGUUUUCUGAUCUGUGAAGGUUGAGAAACAUUUUGGAAUUUUGAAUAUAUAGGCAUUGCUUUCAUGGACUCAGUUUGUGAUAAAUGCUGGUAGAGAAAACCCUGUUAAGCACAACAAAGGAAAAAAUAAAAUAAGUAUGAUCAAUUGAAUGAGAAAAAUACAGCAUUAUGUGUGAGUGUGUGAUACACAAUCCAUUAACUGUUUUUAUUUUUUAACAAAUUGUUAGCUUGAACUGAUGAUUUUAUCUGGGUUUCUGGCAUUUUUAUUUUCUGUGUAAUGUCUUAUGGAAGUUGAAUUUUUUUUACUUUAUGCAGAGAAAUCUGAAAUUAUGAAUACCCUUGUGAAAAAGUUACCUUUAAAAACUUUCUGUUGAAAUUAUUUUCUAUACUUGUUCACUCUACAAGUGUUGAUGUUGUUUGGUGAUGAAAGGGGCAAAAUGUUGAAUGUUAUUAUCUAUUGGAAAUAAUUUGCGUUUUUUGUUUGAUCCAGCGAUGGGCAAAAGCACUGAAAGCUGCUUCUAAACAGUUCAAGAAAUGGAAGACAAAGAGAGACCCCAUUGCCCAUGUCAUGCUACCCAGAUGAUGUUUUUUAAAUAUCUGCUGAAUGGGUGAUGUUUUUACUUUUUUUUUAAUUGUGAAUUAGUUUAUUUAUUCAAUUUAAUCUAUUUAAUCUAUACAUUAAGAAAGGUUUAGUUAAGUCUUUCAACUUUUUCGACAACAAUAUUUGUAUCAUAGUAGCUCUUCAACUUAAAAAAUAUUAAGGUUAAAAAAAUACAAAGGUUUAAUUGUGCAAAUAAGACACUUAAGUGUAUUUCUCUUAUUUCUUUUUGAAAUCUUACAAACAAGUACACCUAGACCAUGAUAUUCAACUUAGAUUGGACACGUGUAAGUUAUCUCAACUUUAUCCCCGGAAUAAAAAUUCAAUCUCCAUUUCUACUCUCAUACUUUACUUUACGGAUAUAAAUUUUUUUUCUCAUCCCCCGUCCCAUAAGUUUAUACCCAUACUUAUACUUAUACCUAUAAAUAUUAAUUAAAUAUUUUUUUAAAAAUAGAUAUAAAUAAUUUGAUAUUUUCAAGCAUUCAAUAUUAAUAAACAUUUUCUUUUCUCAUCAAGAAAAAAUUAUAAUUGUAUAAAUAUUAAAGGAGGGUAUUAAAUAAAAAUUAAAUAAAAUUUAAAUAAUUAUAGAAAAGAGUAAAAAUCAUAUGACCUAGAAGUAAGUUAUGAAGUUAAGGAUAUUUUUAGGUUACUUAAAAAAUAAAAUGUGUUUUAGUAAUUUAGAACGAUGACGACUAUGAGGACGAGGAUGAAUAUGAGGAUCCUUAUCCGCGAAAACGAGUUCAUUUGUCAUCCUUAUCCUAGACACAAUUAGAUAAGAGUGAUCUAUCAUUCCGCGAAAGCGAGUUCAUUUAUCAUCCUUACCCUAGACACAAUUAGAUAGGAGUGAUCUAUCAUUUUUCUAUACAAAGUCUUAUCUAAGUUGCUUGACUCUUCCGAUCCAAGGCAAAUUUAGCCAUAUGCUGGAGCAAUGUCAUUGUGCCUUUACUUCAAGCUUCUAAAAGUUCAUCUCUUUCUCAAGUAUAUUAAAAACUAAGAAAUGAAGAAUUACCAUGUUGAUUGCAAGGUGCUUAUAAAUGGAUUCUCUAAAGAAUCAUCUCUUAGAGAUGAAGUGGUGCUUAUAAAUGGAUUCUCUAAAGAAUCAUCUCUUAGAGAUGAAGUGGUCAAAGUAUGUUGAUUAUUAGGAAAGUAUGGUUUUUUUGUCUUGUCAAUGUCAUGACUCCUUAUCGUUUCUCUAAUAAGAAAUGUACUUCUACAACCACCUAAACUUUUCCAUAUCAAAGAAUUUUGAAGUAAAAACUAAAAAUAUUGAACUUAGAGAAGCUUGGAAAUCAAUCUGCACAUUUUUCUUAGUCAAAGAAGUGAAACUUAUUUUGAAAAAUAUUCUUUUAGUUUACUCUUACAAAAAACUCUUAUUAUUUUCUAUCACAUAUAAGUAUUAAGUAUUUAAGAGUAUUUUGAAGAAAGUUGUCUCUAAAAUGAUCUUGUGUUUCCCAUGCACUAUACUAUGGAUUUUCAAUUCCAAUAUCACAAUCAGAAAGAAAGAGAAAGAUAUUGUGAAGGAAUUGGAGGAUUGACGAAAAAAUGAUGAGGACGAUGUGCCUUGAUAAGAGGUUCAACUUGUUGUUUCCAAAUAAAAAAAUUGUGUGAGAGAGUUUCUCCAAUACAGAGUAGGAGAAGAAAAUCGAUGGAGGAGCGAUUGGUGAAAUUGGAAUAGGUGUGGGCGAUGAUGUUGGUUAACAUACAAUAACCAUAGAGAAAAAAUGAAGCUAUGAAAGAAAAAAUUCAGAAUGGGUAGCCAUAAACGAGUUUUCAAGCUCUGGAUACUAUGAUAGAUUUCAAAAGAAAAAUAAUAUUGAAAAAAUGAUCUAUUUUCUUAUCAUCAGAAACAACAAAUAUAAUGAUUAUAUAGGCAGCUAAGCGGUGCUGAAAACAUGCACCGCUAACAAAAUGAUUACAAUUAAAACAAGAAAGUAUUACAAUUAAAAUCAGUGUUGAAAGUAUGCACCAUUCACAACAUUAAGCAUAUACACUAACAUCAAGAAAUAAUCUUACGUGCUUCGAAAGACUUGGAGGUAAUAUAUCUGGAAGAGCUUGUAGGAAUCCUAAGUGUUCAUGGGCAAGUGUUGUUGUAUGAUGCAUAAAGGCACAAAGGAAUGUUUAUUGCUCUUAAUGAUCAAAAGCCUAAGUCCCUCUUGCAAAAGCUAAUGAAGUGAUAGACAAUCAAAAAGAUGAGUCACAUACUAGUAGUGAAAAAUAAUUGUAAACAUUUAAUUGCUUAAUAGAACAUUUUGCAGUUUCUAUCAGAAAAUUAGACUUAAUACAUUUUGGAGGUGGACCAAUAUAAAACCUAAAGUAUUUAUUGUGUCUCUUUGUUACUUGCACAAUACAUUUUUUAACCAUUUAUAAACCUUUUACCAUUUUUUAUCCAUUUAUAUGAUAUUGAUCAACCAAUAAAAGAUCAUAGUUGCAACCACCACAUUACAUAACUUUAUAAAAAAUUUUAAAAACCAUAAUAUAUGUUUCAAUGCGAAGAAAGAAAUAUUAUGACGAAAUGAAUUUAGAUAAUCCUAAAAGAGUAAUAAAUAGUGUUAUACGUUCGAACUCAAAUUAGCAAUUACAUAAAUUUAGUAUAUUAAUUUCUAUAUAUUUCUAUUUUCUCAAAAAUAAUGUCAAAUAACUAUAAAGAAUAACUUAAAAUUUGUAAUAUAUAUAUAUAUAUAUAUAUUAAGUUUAUUCGAUUAAAAUAUCACUAUUUAUAUAAGUUGAAAAUAACCAUUCAAAUUAAAUAAUAAAAAUAACAAUUUUUUUUAACAUUUUAAACAAUAAUUUUUUAAAUACCUUACUAUCUUUAAAAUAUUUGUAUGCAACAUCUUUAUUUUAUUGGUUUAUUUUUUAUUGAACAUGACUAUUAUAUUUGAAUGUUACCAGAUUAUUUUAGUUAGAAAAUAACUUUUAGGAGGAUUUUUAUGUAAGAAAUUAUGUAAAUUAAUUUCUAUAAAGUGAUUCACAUGACUUAGAGUUUGAGUUUUGGACCCGAAUAUGAUUUAAUAAUAAUAAUAGAAUUAAAAGGUCUGUUGGUUAAUAUGAGAAUAAAUAUCUGAUGAUACCUAAUGAAAAACCUACAGAGAUUGGGAAUUAAGGUCAAUAAGGUUUUGUCUCUGCAAAUAAUAGUAGUCUCACUGUUAACCAUCACGAAAGUGUGUGACAAAAACGGAAUUGCUAAGUGUACCGCCCAGGUAGUCGGAAGUGAUGACGUGACAGCAAGCGAUAAUAUAGGCGUGUUGAACGGAACACCUGGCUGACAGAAGGGGAGGAAGUCGGGGAGCUCGUGUAGUCGCCAAUCGUUAAGUUGGCGUGCUCCGAUCUCUAGCAUAUCUAAACCGGCGGUCACCAGGUUUGUGUCGUAGUCGCCGGAUGCGAACCCAGGCGACCAAGUAAUCAGAGAUCGCCGAGAGGAGGACAUCGCCGAAAGAUCAGGAAAGCUGGUUCAAGGCUUUCAAAGGGGACGAGUGCGAAGGAUGAAAUUAUCAGAUGAUUAUUCCCUAGCUAGCCAGAGGUUGAGGUCAGGGAACAGCUUACCAGGACAUGCACGGUGAAGCAAGUGAAGCAGAUCAUGAUGGCGGUCGGCGAGACCACAGGGAAGGUGUGCAUGGUGACACCCCGUACUCGCCACACAGAAGAGAUCGCGCUCCAAAGGCAGUAUACACCGAGUUACUCCUUGCAUGGGUAAAUUUAAGUCGAAACAAGCCUGAAGAGUAAGAAGUGNNNNNNNNNNNNNNNNNNNNNNNNNNNNNNNNNNNNNNNNNNNNNNNNNNNNNNNNNNNNNNNNNNNNNNNNNNNNNNNNNNNNNNNNNNNNNNNNNNNNNNNNNNNNNNNNNNNNNNNNNNNCUGAGGUACGCGCGUUUAGAACACUUCUUUACGCUUGGAGAAUACUUGAGUGACUGAGAGAGUUUUUGCACGAUUCCUUGAGUUCUUAGUUUUCUCUCUUAGAGUUUUGGUGGUUCCGUCACUGACUUGAGCGUCGGAGCGCGAUCGGCCGCAGCGGCGCCACUCUGUCUUUUGCAUAUUCUUGAGGUGAAUCGAGGUGUGAAGGACGGAAGCUAGCAUGGUGCAAAGCCGAUCCAGAGGAAGAAUACCUUUGACGAGGCGAGGCUCUUGCGUUCUGGUCAACCGGCAGGAUCAUCAGGCGCCCACCGUGGGGUCGUGUAAAACCUGUCCCCAUCCACAGCGUGAGUUCUUGAAGUUUCUGUAGUUUCUGUGUGGUUGUGUGCUGGUGCAACCAUUUUCCACCGUUCAUUCAAGCUUUUGUUCGGUGAUUUCAAGUUUUCCACCGUUCGUUCGAGCUUUGUUCGGUGAAUUCGAGUUUUUUGCCGUUCGUUUGGGUUUUAAUCGGUAGUUUGAAGUUUUCCACCGUUCGUUCGAGCUUUCGAUCGGUUUUCUUGAAGUUUCUUGCUGUUUGCGCGGUUUUCAAUCGGUUGUUCGGAGCUUUUUCCGUUCGUUCGCGUUUCUGGUUGGUGAAUCGGGAGUUUUGCUGGAGGAGCGGUGGGUUCGUGGUGAAGUUGCAAGUUUCUGUGAAGGUUUCGACGUCCGAAUCUAUCGGCGUGCUGUUGUGGUUGCGUGUUUGGAAGUUCUUGGGAGUUUGGGAGUUUCUGACCAAUUGAUUGCUGGAUUGAUCGUUUGCUGGAGAAGGUUUUGUUCGUUGGAGUUUGGUUUGCUGAGUUUUCAUGAGAAAGAUGAGAAACAACCGUUCAAGUCCCGUUGUGCCAGUUGCUACAGAAGGCGCCAUGACCAUGGCGCAGAUGAUGGAGAUCAUGCGUGCGCUGCAGGCGAAUGUGGAGGCCUCGCGCAUAGAGCAAGGAAGAUGCAUGAGGACCUGGUCGCCUCUCAGGCCAGGAAUGAAGAGCUCAGCAAAGUGACUGAGGAGUUGCGUCAAGCUCUUCAGGAGCAGAGAGGACGCCCAGUCGCUGAAGAGGUCGCACCGUCGUCGCCACCUCGCGUUUUCCCUAUGCCGUUUGCUCAGGCGAUGACAGACACGCCUAUCCCUGCGAGCGUAGUACCUGUGAAAGCUUCUUUCACCGGCGUGGAGGACCCUGAGGCACACCUCACCACGUUCCACACGCAGAUGAUGCUGUCAGGAGGCUCGGAUGUUGUAUAUUGCAAGAUGUUUGUGAGCACGCUCCAGGGAACAGCGCUGGAAUGGUUUGUGAGCUUGCCUAUGUGUCACAUAACCAAUUUCCAGCAGUUUCCGAAGCUUUUCGUCGAGCAGUACAUUGUGAACAAGGCGCCACCUAGGGUGUCUUAUGACCUGUUCGACAUAAGGCAGUACCAGGGAGAGUCCCUCAGGGAGAGUCCCUCAGGGAGAGUCCCUCAGGGACUACUUGAAUAGCUUUGGAGCGCAGAUGGUCCGCUCGCCAGCCAAAGACGAGGAGAUGCUGGUAUACGCCUUCAAAAAGGGCGUCCUGCCGGGACCUUUCUGUGAGGCGCUGAUUAGGACUCACCCCGCCACGUUUGCUGAGGUUAGGCGACUUGCGGUGGCCCACAUCGCCGAUGAGAGUGAAGUCGCCGAGAAGAGAGGGAGCGUGGCCCCUGCUAGGCCACGUGCCCAGACUAGAAUCCAGCCGCAGAGGGUGCUGGAGACGAUGGCGGCCAAGAAGGAUCAAAGGACUCGCCAUCCUUAUCAUCCGAAGGGGAACAAGGGAAGGGGCCCAGGACGCCCCAUGGAGUACAAUCGCCCACCAAAGCACAAGUUUGUCAUGGGGUUGGCGGAUCUGAUCGCCAUUCCCAACAUAGUAGCCAGGCUUAAGGCACCUGAGAAAGUGGGCGACAAGGUGUUAGGACCAAAACCAGACGCCUGGUGUGAGUUCCACCAGAGUUUUGGUCACACCGUUGAUUCGUGUUUGGCACUGGGGUACCAGCUCGACGACCUGGUCAAGAGCGGUUUCUUGAAUGAUUACCUGCUGGACAGGAGGACGGGGGCGCGUCGAGCUCCCAGCCGGCGGGUGGUGAGGCUCAGCAGCAUGAGAUGUCCACUCAUGGCGAGAUCCACACCAUCGCUGGAGGUUUCUUGGGUGGUGGAUGCACUGCAUCACAGAGGAAGAAAUAUGCAAGGUCUGUGAUGGCGGUGGACAUGUUCGAGGACCACUCACCAGAUGUGGACAUCACGUUCACAAAAGAAGACCUCAGGGACGUUGUGCCUCACGACAACGAUCCCAUAGUUAUCUCGCUCGUCACAUCGGGAAGGAAGGUCCAUCGGGUACUGGUGGACCAAGGAAGCUCGGCAGAUGUAAUGUUCUGGCCGACUUUCACACAACUGCAACUGCCCCUUGACCAGCUGAGACCCUAUGGAGGGUGCUUGUAUGGGUUUGCUGGCGAUCAGGUGGAGGUCAGGGGGUACAUCGAGCUAAGAACGACGUUCACGAAUGAGGUGGCCUCGAGGACGGAGAAAAUCAAGUACCUCGUUGUGAACGCCCCCUCAGCAUAUAACAUUCUGUUGGGGAGACCAACCCUCAACAGAAUAGGAGUUGUGCCCUCAACCAGGCACAUGAAGGUUAAGUUACCAUCGAUGGAGGGGGUGGUGAUCACCAUCAAAUCUGACCAGAAGGAAGCGAAGAAAUGCUAUGAGAAUAGCCUCAAGAAUAAGAGGUCAGUAAGUUACAUNNNNNNNNNNNNNNNNNNNNNNNNNNNNNNNNNNNNNNNNNNNNNNNNNNNNNNNNNNNNNNNNNNNNNNNNNNNNNNNNNNNNNNNNNNNNNNNNNNNNNNNNNNNNNNNNNNNNNNNNNNNNNNNNNNNNNNNNNNNNAGGCGAGGAACCGCCCAGAGGAAGCGAGGGAAUUGGGAAUCGCCAGGGCGGUCAUCGCCAGGGAAGCCAGACCCAAACCCGUCGAGGAGUGGCUCGAAAGGGAGAUCGGGGGAAAGGUCUUCAAGCUGGGAAGAUCUUUGGAGGCUGAGCUCCAAGACCAGAUCGGCAGGGUGAUAGAACGGCAUCUGGAUGCUUUUGCAUGGUUUGCUUCAGACAUGCCGGGAAUUGACCCCGAUUUCUUGUGUCACCAUUUGGCAAUGGACACACAAGUUAGACCAGUGCGGCAGAGAAGAAGGAAAUUCAACGAGGAGAGGAGGCAGGCGAUCAGGGAUGAAACACAGAAGCUCCUCGCCGCAGGCCUUAUCAGGGAAGUCCAGUACCCUGAGUGGUUGGCCAAUGUUGUACUGGUGAAGAAAAGCAAUAGGAAGUGGUGCAUGUGCGUCGACUUCACUGACCUGAACAAGGCUUGCCCAAAGGAUUUGUACCCUUUGCCAAGCAUAGAUGCCCUGGUCAACAGUGCAGCAGGGUGCAAGUUGCUGAGCUUUCUGGACGCCUUCUCGGGGUAUAAUAAGAUAAAGAUGCAUCCCAUGGAUGAAGAGAAAACUGCCUUCAUGACUGAGAGGUCGUGCUACUGUUACAAGGUGAUGCCCUUUGGGCUGAAGAAUGCGGGGGCCACGUACCAAAGAUUGAUGGAUAAGGUACUUGCACCAAUGCUGGGAAGGAAUGUGCAAGCGUACGUAGAUGAUAUGGUCGUGACCUCGCCAGAAAAGAGCAAGCACGUUACGGAUCUGGAGGAGUUGUUCACCACAAUCGCCAAGUUCAGAUUAAAGCUGACCCCCAAGAAGUGCAUUUUUGGCGUGGAGGCAGGGGAGUUCUUGGGAUUCCUCUUAACUGAAAGAGGAAGAGAGGCAAAUCCUGAUAAGUGUGCUGCCAUAUUGGCGAUGAGGAGCCCGGCUACCGUGAAGGAGGUGCAGCAACUUACAGGUCGGAUGGCCGCCCUGUCUCGUUUCGUAUCGGCUAGCGGAGAGAAAGGCCAUCCGUACUUCCAGUGUUUAAGGCGAAACAAUAAGUUUGUCUGGUCGAAGGAGUGUGAAGGAGCCUUCGUGAAGCUUAAAGAGUACUUAGCGAGCCCGCCGAUUUUGUGUAAACCCUUGGUAGGAACCCCUCUCAGGUUGUAUUUUGCUGUGACUGAGAGGGCGGUGAGUGCGGUGCUCGCCCAAGAUCAAGACCAGGCUCAGAAGCCUAUUUAUUUCGUCAACAAGGUGUUGCAAGGCCCGGAGGUGAGGUAUCAGGCCUUGGAGAAAGCUGCACUGGCUGUAGUAUUUUCGGCGAGGAGGUUGCGCCACUAUUUUCACAGUUUUACAGUGCUGGUGAUGACCGACUUGCCCAUCCAGAAAGUCCUGAAGAAGCCUGAUGUAGCUGGGAGAAUGGUGAAGUGGGCGGUGGAGCUGUCAGAGUUCGACAUCAAGUAUGAGCCCCGAGGUCCGAUCAAGGGGCAGAUUUUCGCCGAUUUUGUGGUCGAGCUCUCGUCAGAAGCAGCACGAGUUGAAGGGGAUGAUUUUCGUUGGGUGCUCUCGGUGGACGGAUCGUCGAACCAGCAGGGUAGCGGUGCUGAAGUCAUUCUAGAAGGGCCCAACGGCGUGCUAAUAGAACAGUCUCUGAGGUUUGCCUUCAAAGCCAGCAACAAUCAAGCAGAGUAUGAGGCGUUGAUCGCCGGAAUCUUGCUGGCCAAGGAGAUGGGAGCUAGGGUGCUGAUGGCUAAGAGUGACUCGUUAUUAGUCACGGGACAAGUAACAGGCGAGUUCCAGGCCAAGGAUCCACAAAUGGCGGCUUACUUAGAGUAUGUGCAGGAGUUGAAGAGUUCCUUUGUCUCGUUUGAAGUGGUGCAUGUGCCCAGAGAGCAGAAUGCCCGAGCAGACUUGCUAGCUAAGCUCGCCAGUUCGGGCAAGGGGGGUAGGCAGAGGACAGCGAUCCAAGAAACUCUGAAGACGCCUAGAGCAUUUGUGGCAGACCACCUGGUUCUUCAGAUAAGCAAGUCGACGGAGAAAGCGGCGAGGAGUCACAGGUCCUUGACUCAGGAGACCUUGAGGUCGCCGAGAAUAAGUGCAUGUCGGGGGGAGAGGGUGAACAUGACGCAGGUCUGUGCCACGCAUGAGCCAGACACAUGGAUAACCCAGUACCAGNNNNNNNNNNNNNNNNNNNNNNNNNNNNNNNNNNNNNNNNNNNNNNNNNNNNNNNNNNNNNNNNNNNNNNNNNNNNNNNNNNNNNNNNNNNNNNNNNNNNNNNNNNNNNNNNNNNNNNNNNNNNNNNNNNNNNNNNNNNNNNNNNNNNNNNNNNNNNNNNNNNNNNNNNNNNNNNNNNNNNNNNNNNNNNNNNNNNNNNNNNNNNNNNNNNNNNNNNNNNNNNNNNNNNNNNNNNNNNNNNNNNNNNNNNNNNNNNNNNNNNNNNNNNNNNNNNNNNNNNNNNNNNNNNNNNNNNNNNNNNNNNNNNNNNNNNNNNNNNNNNNNNNNNNNNNNNNNNNNNNNNNNNNNNNNNNNNNNNNNNNNNNNNNNNNNNNNNNNNNNNNNNNNNNNNNNNNNNNNNNNNNNNNNNNNNNNNNNNNNNNNNNNNNNNNNNNNNNNNNNNNNNNNNNNNNNNNNNNNNNNNNNNNNNNNNNNNNNNNNNNNNNNNNNNNNNNNNNNNNNNNNNNNNNNNNNNNNNNNNNNNNNNNNNNNNNNNNNNNNNNNNNNNNNNNNNNNNNNNNNNNNNNNNNNNNNNNNNNNNNNNNNNNNNNNNNNNNNNAGCUGUGCGAAGAGGUGGGAAUUCAGCAGGUGUUUGCAUCCGUUGAGCACCCUCAGACAAAUGGCCAAGUAGAGUCCGCCAAUCGGGUGUUACUAAGAGGCUUGAAGAGAAGGCUAGAGAAAGCCAAGGGAUCGUGGGCUGAGGAGGUACCCUGCAUAGUUUGGGCGUACCACACCACCGAGCAGUCAGGAACCCACGAGACCCCGUUUAGCUUGGUCUAUGGAUGUGAUGCAAUGAUUCCAGUGGAAAUCCAGGAGAGCUCACCGAGAUUCCAGAACUUUGUAGCGGAAGACUCGAAUGAAGAAAGAAGGUUGAAUCUGGAUUUGUUGGAUGAGGUCAGGGAGGAGGCGAGAGUAAAAGCCGAGGCAGUAAAAAGGAGGAUUGAACGAAGGUAUAACUCGAAGGUGAUGCCAAGGCAGUUUAGAGAGGGCGACCUGGUGAUGAGGAAGGUCCACCAGUACGAGAUGGAAAACAAGUUAUCGCCUAAGUGGACAGGACCGUUCAGAAUAACCGAGGCGCUCGGGAACGACGCCUACUGCUUAGAGACAUUGGAAGGAGGGGCGAUUCCUCACACUUGGAACGCCACACACCUCAAGUUAUAUUACAGUUAAAGCUUUGUAAGUAAAAACGAACAUGAAAAGAUUUGCAAGCUUUCUGUUAAAACAGUUUGAAGGGGGCACUCUUUUUUCCCUAAGGAGGGUUUUUAAUGAGGCCACCCAAUAAAGAAUAGUUUUCAAAGUUUAAAGUUUCUAAGGUUGCAUGCUUGUUGUUUCGAAAGUUUUAGAAAAAGACCUUAUCACUCGUACGUGAUUCAAGGCAAGUUUAAAGUUAUGCUGCAUGCUUUCUAAAAAAAAGUUUUAAAGUCCCCAUCGCUUUUCGGCGAUUGGCGGCAUCAGUUAAAGUUUUAAAGUCCUCAUCGUCUUUCGGCGAUCGGAGGCACCAACAAUGACUAAAGACCUCAGCGCUCUCGUGCGUUUGGAGGCGAGAAAAGAAAAGACCUCCUCGCCCUCGAGCGAGUGCAAGCGAGAAAGAGUAAAGACCUCAUCGCCCUCAAGCGAGUGCAGGCGAGAAAGAGAAAAAGUCCUCAGUGCAUCCAGGGGGGAGGAGAUGAUGUGAAUGUGACAACAAGAAUACAUGAUUCUUUGACAUUCUUAGGAGCAACUUGAGCUGGUCAUAAAUGGCACUUUACUUAGAAUUGGAUCAAUGUUCUAAUUCAAGAACUCACCAAGACUUUGCACCAACCAAAACUCAUAUGGAAGUCCAUAUAUUGUCAAAUGAAAUCAAACACAAGGAAAGUAGAACAAGAAAUGAAAAAUGGACAGAAUUGAAAAGCUAAGCUACUGAACCGAAUAGAAACAAAGAACAAAGCUGGAAAAACAGAAUUAAACGGUGCAAAUGAAAGGAAAGACUAGGAAAUUAAAAACUACCGAAUGAAAAUUGAAGAAAAGGAAGAAGGACACUUAUAGGAAGAUGCUUGCUGGAUUUUGAGAAUUGGAAGAAGCCAUUCACGCCACUUGGAACCUUGAUCCAAGAUAAGUGAUGGAGUGCCGCCACUUGAAGCUCACCAUUGCUCACAAGAUAAGGCAAAGGAAGAAGAAGACCCAAGACUCACAAUUUCUCUCCAAAUUUGAGUAUAGUCUCUCUACUAUAAAAUUCCAAUCUGAAUUGUGAAGGACCUAAGCCCUCCUUUUAUAGGAGUAAGGGCUGGUCAUUUACAUAGCUUAUUCCCUAAGCUACCCAAAAAGCUCCUAAGAUCACACCCCCCUUACUAAGCUCACUCCCCNNNNNNNNNNNNNNNNNNNNNNNNNNNNNNNNNNNNNNNNNNNNNNNNNNNNNNNNNNNNNNNNNNNNNNNNNNNNNNNNNNNNNNNNNNNNNNNNNNNNNNNNNNNNNNNNNNNNNNNNNNNNNNNNNNNNNNNNNAUAUGAAGCCUAUUAUUUGAGAGUUUGUAGACUUCUUUAUCUUUAGGCUUGAUCUUCUCUUUGACUUCUUGUAAUUUGUGAGAAGACUAGAAGGAAGAACUUCAAAUGUGUAGGUGAAAAUCCUCUUCCUUCAUUAAUAAAAUCCUCUCCUAGUGGAUAUCCAUCAUACUCCCCGAGUUGGAGAGAAUUCGUCCACGAAUUCAGUACUCCUGCAUAAAACAAAGUCAGUUUGCUAUUAUAUAAGAGAAGACAAGAAGAAAUGGGCAAACAUGACUUAUCACUUUGAAAUGUUGGGAGUUCAGAAAAAGAUGGUCUAUACACAGACCAUGUUGGAAAAGAUUGUUUAGGAAUGAUAUUAUUUGGUAAAAUAGGAGAUAUGAAAAAAUCAUCCUUAACAUUCUUUAUCCAAUAUGGUGUGGAAGUAGGAACCUUAGGUAAUGAAAAUGACAAAGAAGAAGAAGACCUUGUAGGCGUAGCACGAGUCAACAAAAGUGAUUUAGUUGAGAAGGUAUUAAGACCCGGGUUAUCAUGUACUUCAAUUUCCUUUUCAUUUUCUUUUUGAGUUUCUUUGGGAUUGGUCCUAUAUGCUAGACGAUGUGGUAAAGAAACCCUGGGCAUUAAGUCUAUUUGGUGUUCAAUCCCUUUUAGAGGUGGUAAUCCUUUAGGAGGAUCUUGAAUCACAUCUUCAUAGUCCUUUACCAAAUUGUCCAAACAUGUGGGACUAUCCUUAGCCGACUCACAGUCAAUAGUCCUAGGAAUAGCUAAAAAAAUAGGCUUUUGAGUAACUAUUACCCUUUUAACUUGUUGUGUGGACAUGAGAAGGCUUCUCUUGGAACUUUUUAUAUCAUUUUCUUUCUCUCUUUUUUCUCUCAUUUUAACUUGGUCCUCAUGUACUUCCUUUGGAGAGAGAGAUUUAAGAGUGACUUUGUGCCCAUGGAAGUGAAAAGAAAUUUUGUUGGUAAAGCCAUCAUGAAAAACUUUUCUAUCAAAUUGACAUGGCCUACCUAAAAGAAUAUGUGUGGCUUCCAUUGGGACAACAUCACACAAGACCUCAUCUUUAUAUUUACCAAUAGAAAAUGUAAUGAGGACUUGCUUGUUAACAACAAUCUCACCUACCUCACUUAACCAUUGUAAUUUGUAGGGCUUGGCAUGAGAGAUGGUAGGUAAUCCAAGUUUGUCUACCACUCUUGUGCUUGCCACAUUUGCACAACUCCCCCCAUCCACAAUCAAAGAGCAUACUCUAUCAUGAAUAAGACACCUUGAAUGAAAAAUAUUUUCUCUUUGAGUUUCAUCAAAAGGUUUUAACACUUGUCCAAGCAUGCGUCUUAUUACUAAUAGGUCACCCUCAUGUGGGCUUUCACUUUCACUCUCACUUGGGGAUCUAGAAGGUGAGGAAUGUCUAGAAGAUUCAGACCCAUGCUCACUACUAUCUACCCCAUCAUGCAUAUACAUAGCUCGUUUAGAAGGGCAAUUAGAAGCAAUAUGUCCAUAGCUUAAGCAUUUAAAACACUUCUUACUAGACGAAUUAUGUGGUGAUUUAGGCCGAGAAUUAGAAGUGGAAGGCUUAGACUCUCUAGGUUUGAAAGUAGAGUCCUUUGAAGGGAUAUUUGAAAAAGAGUUAUUUUUAUUUUUCCAAGAAGAGUGGUAGUAGUUAUCCUUAGAAGAAUUUUUGAAAGCAUUUUUCCUUGCAAGUUGAUUUUCAAUUUUGCUAGCAAGGUGCACCACAUUUUCCAAAGAAGAAUAUUCUUGUAACUCUACCACAUCUUGAAUGUCCCUUCGAAGGCCACUCACAAACCUAGCUAUCUUAGCUUCCUCACUCUCAUCCAUAUUAACUCGAAUUAAAAGCGUGUCUAGUUGUUUAAAGUAAUCAUCCACACUUAGCGCGCCUUGAUGAAACCGUCUGGCAGAGAUCUUUGUCUAGCUCGCCCAUGGUGUCUGGACUUCUGGGCCUCCUAAAGCUUUCUUUGGCGUCUUUGUUCCCCUUGUGUACCUAGUACAAGGGGAAGCCGUCGAGCAGGGAGGGAUCUUGGUCGUUGGCACACACCUUCACGAAUUUUCCUUUCCAAUCUUUGUAAGAUUGCUGGAAGAUUGAGAGGAUUGACCUCCCAGCAAUCCCAUUCAGGUUAAUCCAGAGGCGGUCUCCUGGAUUCUUAGCUUCGAACAGGAAGACGAAAACGUCAACUGAAGCUGGUAGUCCCAAGUGUGCGCACAUAAUUUGGAACGCCCUUACGAACGCCCAGCUGUUGGGAUGAAGCUGGACGGGGGCGAUAUCGAGCUCGGUUAACAGCUCUCUCUCGAAGCGAGUGAAGGGAAGUCUGAGCUUCACCUUCUUGAAGAACGUCGCGUAGAUGAAGCAGAACAGCUCGCCGUUGUUCACUUUAUCGUCCGCGCAGAUCGGCUCACCCGGGAAGCAGGGCAGCACGGCCAUUUUGCUGUCAUGCUCCUUAUGGAAUGUGAGCUCGGAUUGGUCGCCUUUCCUUAGUCGGUGCACGCUCAACUCCGUGUUUAUUGAAGAAGUUUCUUUCAACAAAGCUGAGGUGGCCCAAGGGUAGAGUUCCUUGUAGUCUUUUGGAGGUAGGGAAGCGCCUCCGGCGACUGGCGGAGUUGCCUGAGCGGGAUUGGCGUGAGAAGUUGCAGGCCUCUCAGCCUGGGAAGAAGGAGCGCCAGAUGCUCGUGGUGGGUUACGCGCUGGUGGAGGAUUUGCCCCAGGAGCAACCCUACGCGCUUGGGGUGGAGGGUUUCGCGACGAAGAAGGAGNNNNNNNNNNNNNNNNNNNNNNNNNNNNNNNNNNNNNNNNNNNNNNNNNNNNNNNNNNNNNNNNNNNNNNNNNNNNNNNNNNNNNNNNNNNNNNNNNNNNCAAAAACUGCAAAGGAAAAUGAAAGGGAUGAACAAAGGUUACAGAGAACGACUCGAUUGAGGACGAAGAAAGGAGAACGAACGAACAGGAGUUCGUUGGGACGAACGUAAUGGAAGACGAAGCCCUAAGUUACGAGAGGGGAGAAAAGGAGAAAACAACCCACAACGUAUGCACUAGACAGAUAAUGGAUGAUGCGAAUCGGUUAAAAUGCAGCAAACAUCAACAGAAGAAGUAAAAGGGGUACCUUUUGAUGAUCGGUUGAGCGUUGAAGAGAGUUGGAGAUUGAGAGAGUUGAGGAGCGUCGUGGGAUGCAGAUAAAAUACUUAGAACUUUUGAGAAUGCAGAAAGAUGAUGGAACAGUAGGAAGUGCAAAGGGUUUUAGGGGUUUUUCGAACGUUUUCGGAAGCGCAAACGACAGCUGAAGAUGACCGUUGAUGAAGCCACGUGUCGAGCGAUUGGAAAAAGGGGUUUGGUGGAGCGUCAGAAAAGCAGAGGGUACGAACGUUUGGAAUUCCGUGCCAGCGCCACGUAGAUCGACAGUGAUGUGACCUCUUAGUCUUUUCGCUGGACAAGUCUUCGCUUAAGACUAGGGGGAUUGUGUACCGCCCAGGUAGUCGGAAGUGAUGACGUGGCAGCAAGCGAUAAUAUAGGCGUGUUGAACGGAACACCUGGCUGACAGAAGGGGAGGAAGUCGGGGAGCUCGUGUAGUCGCCAAUCGUUAAGUUGGCGUGCUCCGAUCUCUAGCAUAUCUAAACCGGCGGUCACCAGGUUUGUGUCGUAGUCGUCGGAUGCGAACCCAGGCGACCAAGUGAUCAAAGAUCGCCGAGAGGAUGACAUCGCCGAAAGAUCAGGAAAGCUGGUUCAAGGCUUUCAAAGGGGACGAGUGCGAAGGAUGAAAUUAUAAGAUGAUUAUUCCCUAGCUAGCCAGAGGUUGAGGUCAGGGAACAGCUUACCAGGACAUGCACGGUGAAGCAGGUGAAGCAAGUGAAGCAGAUCAUGAUGGCGGCCGGCGAGACCACAGGGAAGGUGUGCAUGGUGACACCCCGUACUCGCCACACAGAAGAGAUCGCGCUCCAAGGCAGCUAUACACCGAGUUACUCCUUGCGUGGGUAAUUUACUCGAACAGCCUGAAGAGUAAGAAGUGACGCUCAAGCAGAGGACGCUCCAGAUGGUGACACGAGUACAGCUGGAUGCGAGCCACGUGUUCAGAUGUGUAACCGUCAGGAGAGAGAAAGUGCACAGGUAUAUAAGAGAUUUUAACGAACUUCUGAGGUACGCGCGUUUAGAACACUUCUUUACGCUUGGAGAAUACUUGAGUGACUGAGAGAGUUUUUGCACGGUUCCUUGAGUUCUUAGUUUUCUCUCUUAGAGUUUUGGUGGUUCCGUCACUGACUUGAGCGUCGGAGCGCGAUCGGCCGCAGCGGUGCCACUCUGUCUUUUGCAGGUUCUUGAGGUGAAUCGAGGUGUGAAGGACGGAAGCUAGCGUGGUGCAAAGCCGAUCCAGAGGAAGAAUACCUUUGACGAGGCGAGGCUCUUGCGUUCUGGUCAACCGGCAGGAUCACUAAGACAUAAAUUGGGACAAAGGAGAUAAAGUAAUUGUUCAAGUAGAUCACUCAUGGAUCAAGGUAAAUGCUUAUUCCUUCCUGAUUGUAUGAAUGUGUGUGAUAAUCAUAAUAUGAAAAGAUCUGUAUGUGAACAUGAAUGUAUGAGUUCAUUAUCAUGUUUUAUUUACAUGUAUUAUCAGAGUCUCGUUGCUCAUUUUUUGUGAUUCUCCAUUAAUGCUUUUCCAAAAUCAAAAGAACCGUAAUUUUAAAAUGUUCAUAAUUUAAGAAUCUUUAUUUAAAAUAAGGGUUUAUAGAUUAAAGUUUUCAUUCCUUUAUAUCCCUAUUGAAUAACCCUAAUUUUAAAAUUAGUGUUUAUGGAUUAAGGUUUCCUUUAACGGAACCCUAAUCUGCACCCAACGUCAUUAACUACGUUAAACCCUAUAAACCUAUUAGUGGGACCGCAAGCCUUUGCCGCUGCCAUCCUGCGUUUUUUCGUCACCACCAUAACUGAUGGAGGAGGGCCAAACUCACAACCCUAUGGAAGACAAGAGCCAAGUCUAGACCGUCUAGACCCAUGUGGGGAGCGUCUAGAGCCAAGUGGGAAGCGUCUAGCACAAGAUGAAGGGCGACUAGAAAGGGAGCGUCUAGGAGGAAGCCUAGACCGUCUAGGACCUAUCACUAGGUCCAUGGCCAAGCAUCUCCACGCACAUUUGGGUCAAGCAACAGAUGGAAGGGAGAAGAACUUGUACAUGCUACAUGGAGGCCCAUUAGGGGUAGCUUAGUAGUUAGUGUAGUGUUAGAAAGCAUAAACUUGUCUCCUUUUGAUUUAACCUAGAUUGCUCACGUUUUCUAGAAGGAUCUCCACUAGGAACGGCCAUGUGCUCCAUGUGCCCAUGUGCCUCACAUUUCCAUUUCAUUUGGCUAGCAUUUCAUCUUAUCUUAGCUUAACAUUUACGGCCUCCUUAGCCUAUAAAAGGAGAAGCCCAUCACUUGUAUUUUCAAGAUUAAUGAGAGUAAUGUUAUGCUGCCAAUUUAGUGCCAUACAUUGCCUUUGCCUAGUUUCUAGGACCUAAUCUUCUCUUCACCAUCUACCAAGGGGGCUGGCCGAACCUCCCUCUUUCCAUACACUUCAUGCACCUUCAAGGUCACCACAACUCCUAGGAGGACCUUGCCCACUUUCACCAUUAGCUUCCACACCAUAUUCACCAACAUCCAAGAAGAGCUCCUUGAGAAUGCCAUCAUUUGGUAUCAUGAGCAAAGGUUCUUCAAAGAUGAGUAUUUCUUGGUCAUUUUGUUUUUGAGUUCUUCUUUAAUCCGUGUUGUUCUUCAUAUUCCAUAUUGUCUUGCUGUUUUUUAAUUUUUGCUCUGAAUUGGUGUGCUGUUUGGAAAUUCCAAUCGGUGCAUCUUGUUCAAUUGUUUUUGAGCAAUCUUUGUGCAAUUUUUGGUAGGAUUCCAUAUACUUGUGUUGUUGUUUUUUAUUUUAGGUAUUUGAGUCCUUAUUGCAAUUUUAUUUGGUUCAUUUUGUGUCCAUUUGAGUCUUUUAAUUUCUGAAUCUAUAUGUGUUUUGUCUAGUCAUGUUCUUCCAAAAUGUCAUCAAAUCAUAGUAGUACUUUGUUUGGCUUAUUUGUUUCUUGAUUUUGGUAUUUUUGCUUGUUUUGAAUCUGCUGUGUUUUUUAUCUUUUGGUGCCUUUUUAUUUUUAGCUUGAGUUCAUAUUUGUGUUUAGAUCUACACAAAUUCCAUUUCACCAAUUCCAUUGUGUUUUUCUUUUGGUAUAUCUUGCUGUUUUUUCCAGAUUUACAGAAUCCCCUGUUUUGCAUAACUCUGUGCUGGCUGUUUUGCUUAAGAAAAUUAUUUUCCCACAUAGGAAAUUUCUGAUCCUCUGGAUUAUGCAAGAUUAAGGUGUUACAGAAAAGACAAAAAAAGAAUCAGUUCAAAAAAACAAAUAGAAAAAAAUAUAAAUAUUUUAAAAACAGUGUGCAAAUCUGGCACUACAACUGGCGUAACUGAACACUGAUUUUAGAAAAAUUAUUAAAAAACAAUGGUUCAUGCGUUUGGAGUGAAACCAACGCCAGAAUUCAGUUAAGAUCUUGAAUUGUUUGCAUAUAAAUUUUCAGAAGCAAAUAUUAAAAGGGCAGCUCAGCAUAAAUCAGGGAAAAUCACGCUCUCUGGCCCACAACAAUUAUUUCAGUGGUGCUGUUUUUGAUUUUGAAAUCAAAUCUAGUGCUAUUCCUAGGAUCCAUUUUGUGUGCCUACCUUUCUUUGAGUACCUUUUAUUUGCUUGUCUAAUAUUUCUUUGGAACUCUUUCUAGUUGUCACAUUUUAAUUCCUUUUGUGUGGUACUGUUUUUCCAAUUAAUUUGUUUCUUGCUUUAAUUCUUUGGCUUCUAAACUUGGUGGUGGAUUGAUUAUCAAUUGGUGCUUAUUUGAGUGGAAAUUGACUUGAGUGAGGUCUAGUCUGCUUGAUAGGUGCUGGAUUGGAGAAUUAAUUCCCUAAUUCCAAGAGGAACAAAGGCAAGGGCAGAAACAAACACCCACCAAAAACACCACAUACAUUGGAAGGCCCAACAAGAGGAGACAACCAAGGAAGUGCCAAUAGAAAAAAAAAUCAACAAAGGGAGUUCACUUAUUUCCUUUGCAACUUAACUUUUGUUAAUUACUUCUUCAUUACGUAAUUAGACGGUGAGUGUGUCUUCAAGGGCUCCAAGUGUCCAAGAAGCCUCACCUAGGGCCGAUUAGUGUAGAACUAUCUAGUUUAGCAAUUGUUAAUUGUUUUAAUUGCAUCUCUUUGCUUUAGAUAGUUACGUUUUUAAUUAUCUUGUAUUGCUUAAAGCUUUGUUAAUUUUUGCUUGGUUAAUUAGUUAGUUUGCAUUGUUUUCUUGCAUUAAAAUUUUGAUUUCUCCAACUUAAUUGUGUUUUAAGUGGUUUACCAAGAGAAAGCUUUGUGUGAAGCAUUAAGGGAUAGUCUUUGGCUAAGGCAAGGCUUGGUAUUUAAGUAGUCCACUGUGACUCACCUCCCUUACCUGGAAGACUACCUUCUUUGACUUCCCUAAAUUUUCUCAAAGUAAAAUACUUCUACACACAAAGCUCUAGUCAUGUCUUCUUCUUCUCAUUCUGCAAAGUCUAUUGAAAGUGAAGUAAAAUCUUUGAAAACUCUUUUGAAAGAAGUUUCACAAGCUGUGCAAAUGAUUUCUUUUAGACAAUUGGAGAAUGAGACUAAAAUCAAUGAGUUGACUAAAAGCCAAGGAAGAGAAGUCUAAAAAAUAAAAUAAAAAACUCAUACUCAUACAUCCCAUUCUAAAAGUAAUGAGUCUCUAGGGGAGGGAAGCCUUAGAAUCAAUGACUAUUACCAACCACUCCCUAGAAGAAAUAGGCAAAGGGAGCAAGAGGGCCCAAAGGAGGUUAGAGUAGACCUACCUCACUUCCAUGGUAAGGAGAAUGUAGAAAUCUACCUAGAUUGGGAGAUGAAAGUAGAACAACUCUUUGCUUGCCAUAAGGUGAGUGAAGAACGUAAGGUACCCUUAGCCACCCUUAGCUUCCAAGGGAAUGUCGUGUAUUGGUGGACCUUUAUUGAAAGAGAAAGACGUCUUCAUAGGGAACCUCCCAUUGAGUAUUGGAAUGACCUUAGGUGAUGGAAACCGUCCAGCCUCAAAACUUUCGGCCAAGAAGAUAGACGAAGAUCGAGCUUUAAUGAAGAGUUUAUAAAGUCUUUUUCUUCUUCUUAGCCUUGUAAAAAUUGUAUAGAGUAGUUAGGAAGUUUUGGGCCUUGUAUUUUGGGCCAAAGUAGAGAAAGAUGUAAAUAGAAAACAAAGUAAUGUGUAAAAUAGUAAAAGAAGGGUGCAAAUAGAAAUGUAGGCAAGGAAGACAUGAGUCUCCACAUGUCUUCUCCUUAAUGGAGAGGAUUUGCACCAAUAAGGUGGUGACACUUGUCACACUCUCAUUUGAGAGCUUUUGAGAGACUUUAUCCUAUAAAUAGGAGUCUCUUAUACAUGUAUUUCUUCAACUUGGAAUUAGUAAUGAAAUGUUGCCUAAUUUUGGCCAUUCUACUUGUUCUUAAGUUCUCCCUAGGUUAGUCUCCUUCAAGACUUAGCCUAGACUCUUUCCUUGAGUUGGCCUCACCUCUCACUCUCACAAAUUCCUACUCCACUUCAAUCCAUGGAAACUCCUCUUGAGUUUCUUUAAUGCUUCCGCUCAUCAUAUCUCCUUCAUCAUUCAUCCAAAGAAGAAAUUACAAAGAUCAUUACUAGAAGAAGAUCGUUUUUCCAUCAUUAGGGGAGCCCUAAGACGUCGACAUAUACCNNNNNNNNNNNNNNNNNNNNNNNNNNNNNNNNNNNNNNNNNNNNNNNNNNNNNNNNNNNNNNNNNNNNNNNNNNNNNNNNNNNNNNNNNNNNNNNNNNNNUCCAACAAAAAAAUAUGAGUGUAGAGGAGUAUAGGCAGAAAAUGGAGCUCUACAUGAUGAGAGCAUCCAUUAGGGAAGAGGAGGACACCACCAUAGCAAGAUUCCUUAGUGGCCUUUCUCUUGAGAUAAGAGAUAGGGUAGAACUUCUUCCCUACCAAGACUUGAAUGACUUGGUUCAACAUUGCAUUAAAGUUGAACAACAAAUUUUGCGCAAAACUUCAAGUCAAAGGGUGAGUUCCUACUCUAGCUUCUAUCCCAAGAAAGAAUAUAGAAGGGAGGGUAGCACAUCAAGAGAAAAACCAAAAGAAACUACCAAGCCCUUAGCAAAAGAAACCUCCACCCCACCCAUCCGAGCUAGAGAUGUUAAGUGUUUUAAGUGCUAUGGAAGAGGGCAUGUGCAAGCACAAUGCCCAAACCAAAGGACUUUGUUUUUAAAGGGUGUAGAUGAAUACACUAGUGGCGAGGAUGAGCCUAGUGAGAGAGAGGAAGGGGGAGAGGAUGAGAGGGUAGCUCCACUAGAGGGAGAAUUGCUAAUGAUUAGGAGAACCCUCAACAAUCACCCUAGCACAUCCAUAGAAACACAAAGGGAGAACAUAUUUCAUACAAGAUGCAAUGUUUUAGAAAAUAUACGUUCCCUCAUUGUGGAUAGUGGAUCUAGUUGUAAUUGUUGUAGUGCUAGAAUGGUUGAUAAGCUUAAUCUACAAGUAGUUCCUCACCCAAAACCUUACAAAUUACAAUGGAUUAAUGAAAAUGGGGAACUAAGUGUAGAUAAGCAAGUGGAAGUCAAGUUUUCCAUAGGGAACUACAAAGACAAGGUUUUAUGUGAUGUAGUACCAAUGGAAGCUUGCCACAUCUUAUUAGGGAGACCAUGGCAAUUUGACAAAAAAACCUUACAUGAUGGUCUCACUAACGAGAUUUCCUUCACCUAUAAGCAUAAGAAGUUUGUACUUAGUCCUUUAUCACAUUCUCAAGUGGUAAAAGACCAAAUACAAAUGAAACAUAAGAGGGAUGAGGAAAAAAAAAAGAGUGCUAGAAAAAGAGAAAAUCCUUAAGGAUAGGAAGGCGUGGGAGAAUAGUGUUCCUUCCCACAAGGUUGCUCAACAAGAAAAGCCUUUUGAAAACGUUUUGGAAAAUUUGCUUCUUGUUGAACAACCAAGCCUAGUCUUUUGUAAAGGAACACUUGCAUGCACUACCACAAGUAAUGAACUCAUGAGUCUACCUCCUCAAGUAGAAAAACUUUUAAGUGAAUUUGAAGAUAUAUUCUCUAAUGAGGGACCCAUUGGACUCCCUCCCAUUAGAGGUAUAUAACAUCAAAUUGACUUCAUUCUGGGGGCAAGCCUACCAAAUAGGCCCGCUUAUAGAACUAACCCCGAGGAAACCAAGGAGAUAGAGUCACAAGUUCAAGACUUGUUGGAGAAGGGUUGGGUUCAAAAGAGCCUAAGCCCUUGUGUUGUACCUGUCUUGUUGGUGCCCAAAAAAGAUGGAAAAUGGCGCAUGUGUUGUGAUUGUAGAGCAAUUAACAACAUCACCAUCAAGUAUAGGCAUCCAAUCCCAAGGCUUGAUGACAUGCUUGAUGAACUACAUGGGUCAACCAUAUUCUCUAAAAUUGACCUUAAAAGUGGGUAUCACCAAAUUAGAAUCAAAGAGGGUGAUGAAUGGAAAACCGCUUUUAAGACCAAGUUUGGAUUAUAUGAGUGGUUGGUGAUGCCCUUUGGGCUCACUAAUGCCCCUAGUACAUUCAUGAGGCUCAUGAAUCAUACCUUGAGAGAUUGUAUAGGUAAAUAUGUAGUAGUUUAUUUUGAUGAUAUCCUAGUGUAUAGCAAGACCCUAGAAGACCAUCUAAGUCACCUUAGGGAAGUUCUUCUAGUGCUUAGGAACAAUAGUCUUUUUGCCAAUAGGGAUAAGUGCACCUUUUGUGUAGAUAGUGUAGUUUUUCUAGGUUUCAUAGUUAACCAAAGGGGGGUGCCUGUUGACCCCGAGAAGAUCAAAGCCAUCCGAGAGUGGCCCACUCCACAAAAUGUAAGUGAUGUAAGGAGUUUUCAUGGGUUAGCUAGCUUCUAUAGAAGGUUUGUGCCUAAUUUUUCAAACCUAGCUUCUCCUUUGAAUGAACUUGUAAAAAAAGAUGUUGCAUUUUGUUGGAAUGAUAAGCAUGAGCAAGCCUUCCAAAGGCUAAAGGCUCAAUUCACCAAUGCACCAAUUCUAGCUCUUCCAAAUUUUUCCAAAACUUUUGAGAUAGAAUGUGAUGCAUCGGGAGUAGGCAUAAGAGAUAUAUUGUUGCAAGGUGGACACCCCAUUGCAUAUUUUAGUGAAAAACUUCAUGGUGCCACCCUCAACUACCCCACCUAUGACAAAGAGCUCUAUGCUCUUGUGCGAGCCCUAAAGACUUGGGAACACUAUCUUGUGUCCAAAGAAUUUGUCAUCCAUAGUGAUCACGAGUCUUUAAAAUAUUUAAAGGGCCAACACAAGCUCAACAAGAGACAUGCUAAAUGGAUGGAAUUUCUUGAACAAUUUCCUUAUGUAAUCAAAUACAAGAAAGGAAGCACCAAUAUAGUGGCCGAUGCUCUUUCAAGGCGGCAUACACUCUUUUCAAAAUUGGGUGCCCAAAUUCUUGGAUUUGAUCACAUAAGAGAGCUUUACCAAGAGGAUCAAGAACUUUCAUCCAUCUAUGCCCAAUGUCAACAUAGGGCACAAGGAGGUUACUAUGUGGCCGAGGGAUAUCUCUUUAAGGAAGGAAAACUUUGCAUUCCCCAAGGCACACAUAGGAAACUCCUUGUCAAGGAAUCACAUGAGGGGGGACUCGUGGGCCAUUUCGGAGUUGAUAAGACUCUAGACCUUUUGAAAGAAAAUUUUUGUUGGCCACACAUGAGAAAAGAGGUCCAAAGACAUUGUUCUAGAUGCAUAGCAUGUUUAAAAGCAAAGUCUAGAACAAUGCCUCAUGGACUCUACACCCCCUUGCCGAUUGCAAAUGCUCCUUGGGAAGACAUUAGCAUGGACUUCAUUUUAGGACUCCCUAGGAUUGCAAGAGGCCAUGACUCUAUCUUUGUGGUAGUGGACCGUUUUAGCAAAAUGUCCCAUUUUAUUCCUUGCCAGAAGGUAGAUGAUGCUCAAAAUAUUUCUAGACUCUUCUUUAGAGAAGUGGUGAGACUUCAUGGUCUACCUAGAAGUAUAGUAUCCGAUAGAGAUCCCAAGUUCAUAAGCCACUUUUGGAAAACUCUUUGGGGCAAACUUGGAACAAGACUACAAUUUUCAACUUCUUGUCAUCCUCAAACGGAUGGCCAAACCGAAGUAGUCAAUAGAUCUCUUGGGACUAGGCUUAGGGCCAUCGUGAAGGGAAACCAUAAAUCUUGGGAUGAGUAUCUUCCCCACAUUGAGUUUGCUUACAAUCGAGAAGUCCACAAGACUACUAAUGCUUCUCCUUUUGAAGUAGUAUAUGGAUUUAAUCCUCUCACACCUAUGGAUUUGUUACCUCUUCCUAAUCCACAAGAAUUUGUGCAUAAGGAAGGAGUAAUCAAAGCCGAUUUUGUGAAGAAAAUGCAUGAAAAGAUUAAACUCCAAAUACAACAACAAAAUGAAAAGUACACAAAAUACAACAAUAAAGGGAAGAAAGAAAUAAUUUUUGAGGAAGGAGACUUAGUUUGGCUUCACCUUCGCAAAGACUGAUUUCCAACUCAAAGGAAGUCCAAACUAAGUCCCCGAGGUGAUGGACCCUUUCAAAUCCUCAAGAGAGUCAAUAACAAUGCAUACAAAUUGGACUUACCUCUUGAAUAUGGAGUACAUGAUACUUUUAAUGUAAUUGAUCUUUCUCCAUUUGUAGGUACCAAUGACGACGAGGACGAACUGGAUUUGAGGACAAAUCCUUUCCAAGGGGGAGGGGAUGAUGGAGGAGGGCUAAGCUCACCACCCUAUGGAAGACAAGAGCCAAGUCUAGACCGUCUAGACCCAUGUGGGGAGCGUCUAGAGCCAAGUGGGAAGCGUCUAGCACAAGAUGAAGGGCGACUAGAAAGGGAGCGUCUAGGAGGAAGCCUAGGUCGUCUAGGACCUAUCACUAGGUCCAUGGCCAAGCAUCUCCACGCACAUUUGGGUCAAGCAACGGAUGGAAGGGAGAAGAACUUGUACAUGCUACAUGGAGGCCCAUUAGGGGUAGCUUAGUAGUUAGUGUAGUGUUAGAAAGCAUAAACUUGUCUCCUUUUGAUUUAACCUAGAUUGCUCACGUUUUCUAAAAGGAUCUCCACUAGGAACGACCAUGUGCUCCAUGUGCCCAUGUGCCUCACAUUUCCAUUUCAUUUGGCUAGCAUUUCAUCUUAUCUUAGCUUAACAUUUACGGCCUCCUUAGCCUAUAAAAGGAGAAGCCCAUCACUUGUAUUUUCAAGAUUAAUGAGAGUAAUGUUAUACUGCCAAUUUAGUGUCAUACAUUGCCUUUGCCUAGUUUCUAGGACCUAAUCUUCUCUUCACCAUCUACCAAGGGGGCUGGCCGAACCUCCCUCUUUCCAUACACUUCAUGCACCUUCAAGGUCACCACAACUCCUAGGAGGACCUUGCCCACUUUCACCAUUAGCUUCCGCACCAUAUUCACCAACAUCCAAGAAGAGCUCCUUGAGAAUGCCAUCAA